RNAcentral lists this long non-coding RNA (48097 nucleotides) under Citrus maxima (pomelo). RNAcentral's name for it is "long non-coding RNA (CMAX_LNC003803)". The record is from RNAcentral. Lineage: Eukaryota; Viridiplantae; Streptophyta; Magnoliopsida; Sapindales; Rutaceae.
AAAGAAUUAACUAUUUUGAAACUAACACCAUACCUGCAAUCAAGAGCCUUGCAGUCAUAUUCCUUACAAAAGUAAUAUGGGUAUGGAGUUAUUUGCACAAAGCAAACCUGUGCAAUGGUACACCUCAUAAGCCUAAGAAAUGGGUAUAUCACUACAACAUAUAGAACAGAUCUAGUUUCUAUGCAUUAAAGUUUCUCACCAAACAGAGACAUGACAACAUGGAAGAUUGCAUCUCAUCUGAAUCAUAAUCAACUAGUAAAAAAUGCAAUUUGAAAGCAAAAAUGAGAAAAUCAUAUGGAAGGAGACUGAAAUGCAAGUUACGCAACCCAAGAUGGGGGUGAAUUGGGAUUUUAAAUUUUAUGCUAAACAAUUUGCGGAACAAUUCAAUCUAAUGCCCUAAUGGAAUUGAAAACAAUAAAUUCAAUAUAGCACAAUAAUAAAAGAGUAAGGGAAGAGAAAACAAAUAAAAGGAUUUUUACAUGGUUCGCCAAUCCCCGCCUACGUCCACGCCUCUAAGCCAACCAAGCUCGAGGAUUUCACUAUCCAAGCCUCCCAAAGCUUCAAAUUCUUACAAUUGACUUCCAAGGUGUCAAUGAACCUUUACAAUCAAGAGAUUAUCUCCCUAAUCUCUUCACCUCAAGUGUUUCUCACACUUGUACACUCACAAUUUGAUAAGAAAAGAAAAUUACAACAAAAACUCUCUUUAAGAGUGGAUAUGCAAAUAAUAGCACAAUAAUGAUUCAAUCUAUGAUGAUUUUGUGAUUUGGAAACUCAAUAUAUGUUAUAUGAUGUUUUUUAUGCUUGUAUUAGUCCUUAAAAUGAAGUUGGAGUUGAGUUUUUAUAGUUAAAGCCCGAAACCUAGCCGUUAUAGACAAAUUCCCGCAACCAAGCGGUUAGCCGCCCAGAACAGUGAUGUUACCGUUAAAUUUGAAUUUUAGUACAACAUUACUAUUCAAAAAAUUAUAUUUUUGCCCAAAAUGUUUUGUAAUUACAAUAUGGCCCAAAAUGUCAUAAAACUUUACAAACAGGUCCAAUUUCAGAAUUUCUAAAUAAUGCUUGUCGUUCCCAAGACUUUUUGAAAUUAUGAUAUGGCUCCAAAUAUAAUGGUAUUGUUCAAAGAGGUCCUUUUCAAAACUUAGCAUAAUAACCAUAUUUUUCAAAGUUCUCAAAACCUUUCACUUUAGUCCAAAACUUGAAAAUAUGAGAUUUUCCUCAGGUGGCUAGCCGCUAGCCCUCAGGUGGUUAGCCGCUCACUCUCUGCCCAAUUUUGGAUUUCAAAUGUUUGAAUUAUAUUCGGGUCCUCAAACGUUCAUAAAUUAUAGUGUGGCCCAACUUGUUUGAAAUGUUUGUAAAUAAGUCCAACUCCAGAACUCAAAACAAUACUUAUUAAAAUCAAAGAUUGCAAAACUUUUUCAUUUUAGUUCAUAUCUUGAAAAACAACUUAAUUGCAUAAAAUACUUGGCUUAUAAUUGUAAAACAUUUGGUUUAUGAAAAAUGAUGAUUUAUUAAAUAAAAUCUUGAGUUUCUCAAAUGCUAAACCAUUCAUAUAUUAAAUCAUACCGGCUUUACAAGAAUUAUCGCAAUAAUGAGUCUGUUGAGUUAUAAACUUUAUUCUUGAUCAUGCCGUUGUCCGUUGAGUGUUGUGAACUUGAUUUCACUUGUAUAAACAUUACCCUUCAAGAACUAGUGAACUUGUGAAAUACACUAUUUAUUAAAUCACUUAAGACACAUGUUUGUUAUCAUCAAAAUUACAUUAUGUGUAGCUUUUUAGGCUAACAGAGACAAGUUUUAUUUUCAUACUCUAGAUCACAUAAGAAUUGCAUGAGCCCUAUUGUAACUUUCCUAAGAAGCCCAAAAUGGAACUAAUAACUUAUAAUAACCAUAUAAACAAGAACUCUACACACCCAUGACCACUAAGGGACUUUAUAUAAAAAAAUUAAAGUUAAAAAUGUCACUUUAUAACCCUAACAUAAGUCUAGCUAUUGAAUCAAAAUUGAGUUGAUUAAAGUUUUCAUAUUUUUUCAAUUAGCAAAUUAAUAACAUCAAAUUCAAUUUCUUAAUAUCCUAUCAAGGGCUGUCACAGUAUCUAUCAAACUAUAGUUAAUUAUACAAAUCAAUUAGAAUUUUGCAAAACAAUAUCUGUUACAGAACUUCAAUUGAGAAAGCCAAUAAAAUCGAAAUUCACAUAAACCCAUUAAUUUAAGCAUGAAAUCUAAAUGACCUAGAUGAAGAAAAAAUCUCAAAUUUAGUUGUGAGUCAAAAUCUGGGAAAAAAAAAAUUUCAAACCCACUUUCAUUCAACAAAAUUUGAUCGAUUUUAUCAUCAUCAUGAUGGAUUUACAAACAAAAAUUUGUCACCAUUUCAUGUAAAUCAGAAGCAAUAAAUUUAUGCAAAAAAACUCAUUCUAUAUACAAAUCCCAUGAUCUCUGGACCCAAUUCAAAGGAAAAAGACUCUAAGCAUUUACCUUGCAAGAAUCGAACCGAAGGUGAGGGUUCGUUGAACAACUUGUGGCGAAAGUGCAAAGAGACUGAAAGACGAUGCGAAAUGGGUGUCCAAUUGAGAACGAUGGUUUGGACGGUGGCAAAAUGGUGGAGUUUUGAAUGGUAGAAUGGUGGCUUUUUUAUUGAUUUUUAUUCUAGGGUUUCUAUUAAUGAUGAGAGUGUGAGGAAAAAUGGAUAGUGAGUGACACGACUCAAAAGUGUAUUACUCUCAAGUAUAAGAGUGUCUAGUUAUUAUAUAACCCGGUGAGACUGGGGUCGAACCACAAGGAGUUUUAAAUCUAGUAAAACUAAGAAAAAUUAAUUGUGAGAAAAGAAAUUAUUUGAAAUCAAUUUAAAAAAAUGCUAAAGUUUAGGAUCCACUCUUUGUAUUCAAACUAUAAUUUUAAUACUCUCUCAUUUAUAUUUUGCCUCACUUUUACCAAUUAAUUAUUAUAUCAUUUAAUUCUAUGUGUGUGGAUAAAUAUGAAAUAAAGUACCUAAUGUGCCACAUUAUAUUAAUAUGUCGACAUUAUGUUAAAAUACCAUACAGAUCCAAAGAGAUUUAUAAAUUAACAUGAUAUAAAAAUAAUUAGAAAAGAAUUAAAUAAACUUAAAAACUCAUUUGAGAAAAUAAUAAUAAUUAAUAAUUUGAAACAUUGAGCUUCACCCUUCACCUCAGCUUAAUAAAAUUAGCUACUCAUAUUGAAAGAAAACACAACACUCUUUUUAUUUGAUAAACUUUUUGAAAUAUAUUACAAAGAAAAUUGAUACAAACGGAAACAAGAAAAGAAAAGAAAGAAAGAUAGAAAUUCUUCAGUCUCGGCUUCAGCUCUCAAAAUAGCUAUCUCUCUCCUCCUUUAUGGCUUGCAUCCCCUUGCCUUUUAUAGGCAAGGGAAUCGUCUUCUUUUAUUUUAUUUUAUUAAUAUUAAUAUUUUAUUUUAUUUUUAUAUUAUAUAUAUAUAUAUUGAAUUGUGUGAUGGUCAGGAGGCGUGAUGGCCUCCUAACCAUCACCAACAUGCUUUUGUUCUUUUGUUCUUUUUUUAUUUUUUUAUUAUUUAUUUUAUUUAUUGUUUAUUAUUACAUCUCUUCAAUUGUGUUCCAGUAGUUCUUCUUUGUUCCCGCUUUCAAUUCCAAUUCCAUCUUUAUUCCUGAAAAAUAUUUACAAGAUAAAAAUUAACAAAUUACGAAUUAAUUUAACAUAAAUUAUAUUUGGGAAGUAUUAAAAUAAUUUAGAAAUAAUGAACGCAUUAAUCGACACAAUAAGUGAAAAACUAAUAAUUUUAUCCUUAUUAAAUGUACACUUUUUAGUGUCAAUCACACCCUCCAACCAGCUUAUUGCUAGACCCUAGCAAUUUAAGCGAUAAAAAUUUAGAGAAAUUUCAAAACCAAAUUGAAAAUCUUUUUUUUUUUUUGAAAAAUUGUGUUUACUUCCUUCUUCGGAUUAAUGACAACAAUCAAAUAAAAUUAUAAGCAUUAUCUUCAGCCUAAAGAAAAUCACACCCGCUCAAAACAGUUCGGUAAAAUCCUUUAAAAUGAUCAAUCAUCAGAGCUACAUUAAUCAACCCACUUUUAAGAAUGAUACAUCAAACCCCAAAAUCUCACGAUUAAGAGUGACUCUCUCAAAAGAAGAUAUAUCCCAAAUUAAUUUGUCACUCUAAAAAAUGGUAAAUUUGAGAGAAUAAUAAAACAAUAUCACACGCUCUCACCAAGAUGAAAAAAUAAUGCCCACAACUUAGAAAUAAAAUGAUCUCAAGUCCAAUGAAUUACUAGCAAAGUUUAUUUUUAUUUUUAUGUAUCACUACAUCUUUUAGUCCAUAUCACCAGCUUUUACUUCAGACUAUAGUUCCCUAAAAUCAAGAACUUUUAUUAGGAUGUAACGUAGGCUAGGGUCAUGGCUAACAAAAAAGGUAAUAGGGAAAACAAAAAUAUAUGUUUGAAAAAUAGGGGACAUUUUGGAGAAUACAAGGUGCUUUUCUUUUUUUCUUUUUUUUUUUGAGUUGUUUUUUGUUUUUGUUUCCUCUUUUCUUUUUCUUUUUAAUUUUAAUUUUAAUUUUUAUAUGCAUAUCCUUUUUUUUUUUUUAUAACACCAUUAUUAUGAAUACAUACUCAUCCCUAUUUUCAAACAUAAUUGGGUGGUGAAAAACAUAAAAUAUAAGGUGAUACUCUAUAUUGGAGUAGGAUAAGAUAAUAGGUUAUCAAAGGAAAAGUUUUUUUUUUUUUUUUUUUAUAAAGGCUCAAAGGGGUGAACUAUGGAUUCUCUAUAAUAAGGUUGGCUAGAAAGGUUCAAACGGAUCAAAGAUGGCAUUCUGUCAUCUUUUAGGGCUCUAAAUAAUCUUUUAUAUCCACUAGUUCAAUGGAUUUUUAGAUGCGGCUGCACAAUUUUUUUUUUUUUAACUUUAAAGAAAAUACAAAGAUCUUGUACAAUAAAUUGUGAAGUUGUAUAAGCAAACAAAGUUACUCUCCAAGGAUAAUAGGCUCAAAAACUCACUUGGACUUUUCAUAACAUGUACAUUCCUCCAAAUGGCUCAAUCAAUUUCACUCAUCCAAUUUCUCAAUUUACAUUUCAACAUGCAAAAAGGAAAACAUAGUGUAACAUAACUCAAGGCUAAAGAUAAUACAAAUACCAAAAUUUGAAAAUCAUCAUGUUAUCCAAUGUUAAAAGAUCACAUCGAAAAAGAAAACUCUUUUUUUUUUUUUAAAGAAACACUAAAAGAAAUUGAGAUUGAUUGCAGAAACUUAAGGGAGAUGAUUAAGAGAAAAAGAGAAAAAAGACAGAAAACAAAACGUUAGAAGACAUUUUUUUUUUUUGAAACAAAACACUAAACUUAAGAAGAUGCGUUUCUAGAGACACUACAUUCUAUAUUCUGCCAUCUUCGACUCAAAUUUUUUAUCCAAAGUUCGUCUUUACAACAAAAAUUAGUAAAAACAUCACUAGGACUGAGACAUUCCACAAUUAUCAACUAUUCACUCCCCCCAACCUGAAAGAGACAUUGUCCUCAAUGUCUAAAGAAAGGAGUAGAGUUUAGAAGAUAUCACCUGGCCACUGCUGGAAAUAUUUACAAACGGAGAGUUAAAUCUAAUUUACACUUUUUUCGAGAGUUACUGCCAUCGUUCUCAGUUGCCCAAUCCAAUGCCAAAGUCAUGGGAUCUGGCUCUGGUUUGUAAGCUUACAAAAGAUCAAGCAACUCAUUAGCAGUAUGAGUACAAAUGAAGAGUUUUUUCGCUGAGGAUGGAAUGAAAUAAUUUUUAAUUGCAUGAUUAAGAAAUGUUAUUAAGCCAUCAUAAAAAUUAUUAACAUUUAACAAAUCGAUGGGUUUUUUUAUGGAUAUUCAAAUGGGCCCAAGAAGCAAAUGUAAUUAGCGCUUCCAAAGUUGCAAGGUCUCCUGGCAAGAAAAUGAAAGCGUCAGCAUGUUUUAACAUUUCAGAUAUUCUUUCUUGCAUACCUGAGACAACUAACUCUUCUCCAGUUGGUGGGUCUGGUAGACAUCCUAAAGGUUUUAAGGCUUUUGGAAUGAUGCCUAGCACUUGGCUUCCUCGAACGAAAGCAGCUUCAGAGACAAGCUUUGAUAACCCUCGGCCACCUCCUCCAUAUACAAGAUGUAGUUUCCUCUCUGCUAUAGCACGACCAAGAUCCAUGGCUGCUUGAACGAACUCCUUAUAAUUUCCAUAGCAAAAUCCAGAGAGCACACAAAUGUUUUUAAGUUGACUGCUUGAAGUUGCUGCCAUUAGAACAAUUCUAAAAAGAAGCAAUAUGUGAGUGCUUGAAAAGAAGCUCCUAUUUAAGGAUCUUGGUGAUGGACAUAAUGAUAUACAUCUGUAAAUGGGGUGGUGUGUUUGUCAAAUGACGCGUGAAGCUUUUAGCUUAAUAAUUCAAAGGUAAACAGUGAAAAGAAAAAGGCAAACAAUGAUUAGAUAAAAUAAAGAAAAAAAAACACAAUAAUAAUAAUAAUAAUGCAAAAGAUAAAAGAACAGUAAAAUAAAAGGAUAUUUACUGGUAGUUGUGAUUGUGGCUCACAUCCUCCUCUGGUUUUACGUCCAGUAACGGCUUGAACGCCCUUUAUGGGUCGAGGAUAGGCUUCCCAUCCAAUUUUCUUAUAAACUGGCAAACAAGGUCUUUUAGAGCCAGACUCCUAAGACUAAACUAUGCACUUUCCUUUUGGAACAGCUUCCACAAAUUUUGAAUUUCACGUUGAACAUAUCCACUCGGAUGCGUCUCAAGAGAUCGUAAGAUAUCAUCCAACGAUUCUUUACUCAUGCCAUCCUUAACGAAUUUGAUUUUAUCAUCACGAUUUACAGAAACCAUUCCUAAAGUUUUACAAAGUGGCUUUUUGCAAGCAAGUCUUACACAAUGAGAAUAUUCAGAGCCAAGUCGCUUAGCUCUUCUUUUCUUAGCAAAUGUACUUUUACCAAAAUCAGGCAUGUAGGAAAUGAAUGGAUCAGAAAACUCACCUGCCAAUCGGACCUUUGCUUCAAUUAACCAGCAAAUGUCAGUAGGAAUCCCAUUGAUCAUUAACAAAUGCAGUCGUUCACAACGAGCUUUGUAAAUCUUCUUAAGAGCAUUUUGAGGGAGAGAAGGAAAAUGUUGAUGCAAAUUUUGUUGUAUUUCUUCCAUGCUUGACAUUGAGGUUUCAGUUAUUGUGGGAAACUGAGAAUACCGACUUAAAAAGUGACGGAGUACCGUUAUCCGCCAUUUAUACGGGAGAGUGAAUCAAAACAAAAUGAAUCAAAUCUUCGUCCUUUUAUUGAAUCCAGUUCUAAUUGCAGAUUAUAAAUACCAUCCUCUAUUUCCUUGAGUUGUCUUUCUAGAUCUUUCACGUGAGAUACUAACUCUGGUGGUUGCAGAUCCCAAAUGGGAUGUAAUUUACAAAAUCGAAGCAAUUUCCUCAGGUGAAAUUUUACAUGAAAAAACAUUUUAAGAUGAUUGAAAAGAAAAUUUCUCAUGGAGGUACUCAUGAAAAGUAUAAAAAUUUGGUGAGCUAAAUCACAAUUGUCAAACAACACACAAUUAGAACAAUGCAAUGCACUCCAUUCAAGACAUAGGAAAAACGAAAAAGAAAAAAAAUCAAAUAAUUCAAACGAUAAAGUAACAGUAAAUCAAAUUCACAAAACGUUAAAAUGAAAAUGCUUAAUCAAAAUUUUGGUGGGUCACUCAAAUAGAUUUCGGUAUCUGCUUCAUGUGGUUGGUAUUCCAGAUAUGGUUUCAAUCUUUGGCCAUUAACUUUAAAUGUGACACCAUCCUUUGGAUUCUCAAUUUCUACGGCUCCAUAUGGAUACACAUUUUUUUACAAUAAAUGGACCAUUCCACUUUGACUUUAACUUCACUGGAAAUAAAUGAAGACGAGAAUUAUAAAGCAACACUUUUUGACCAAUUUCAAAUGUUUUCCGAAAAAUGCUUUUGUCAUGAAAAAAUUUGGUUCUUGCCUUAAUAAUUCUGGAAUUCUCAUAUGCAUCAUUCCUUAAUUCCUCAAGUUCAUUUAUUUGCAAUUUACGCACAUUGCCAGCAUCAUCAAGAUUUGAAUUAAAAGCUUUAAUAGCCCAAAAUGAUUUAUAUUCAAGUUCUACUGGUAAGUGGCAAGAUUUUUUAUAAACAAGCUGAUAGGGUGACAUUCCUAAAGAUGUUUUAAAAGCAGUACGAUAUGCCCAAAGUGCAUCAAUUAGUCGAAGAGACCAAUCUUUACGGUUUGGAUUAACUGUCUUUUCUAAAAUUUGUUUUAUCUCCCUAUUGGCUAAUUCAACUUGACCACUUGUUUGAGGGUGAUAAGGGGUAGCAACCUUAUGUGUAAUUCCAUAUUUCUUCAUUAAGGACUCAAAUGGCUUAUUACAAAAAUGCUUACCUCCAUCACUGAUAAGGGCUCGAGAUAUUCCAAAUCUGCUCAAAAUAUUUUCUUUUAAAAAGCGGAUCACAAUCUUGUGAUCAUUGUGCCGACAAUGAAUCACCUCGAUCCAUUUUGAAACAUAAUCAACAACAACCAAAAUGUAUACAAAUCCAAAUGAUGAUGGAAAAGGGCCUAUAAAAUCAAUUCCCCAACAAUCAAAUAUUUCAAUGACAAGGAUGGGGUUUAAAGGCAUCAUGUUUCGCUUUGAAAUAGACCCUAUCAUUUGACAAUUCUUACACAUUUUACAGAAUGCAUGUGAAUCUUUAAAUAAUGUAGGCCAAUAAAAUCCACACUGCAAUAUUUUUGCAGUUGUCUUUUUUGAAGAAAAAUGGCCACCACAUGCUUCAGAAUGACAAAAUUGAAUAACCAUACUUACCUCGUCGUCUGGUAUGCAUCUUCGAAAAAUUUAAUCGGAGCAGUACUUGAACAGGUAUGGUUCAUCCCAGUAAAAACUUUUCACUUCUGUUAAGAAUUUCUUCUUGUCUUGGGAACUCCAGUCACAUGGCAUUUCACCUGUUGCAAGAUAAUUAACAAUAUUAGCAUACCAAGGCAUUUUAUUUAUAGAAAACAAAAAUUCAUCAGGGAAAGAAUCAUUGAUGGGUGUUGUUUCAAUUGAAGACUCAUUUGUAAGUCUUGAAAGAUGAUCUACAACAACAUUUUCAGCGCCCUUUUUGUCCUUGAUUGUCAAAUUAAAUUAUUGAAGUAGCAAAAUCCAUCGUAUCAACCUUGGUUUGGCAUCCUGCUUUGACAUUAAAUAUCUCACAGCAGCAUGAUCAGAAUAAACAACAGUAGAUGAAACAAUUAAAUACGAACGAAAUUUAUCCAAUGCAAAUAUUACAACAAGUAGUUCUUUCUCAGUUGUAGUGUAAUUCAUUUGAGCACUAUUUAAAGUUCUACUUGCAUAAUAGAUGACAAAGGGCUUACCUUCCUUUCUUUGACCUAGAACAGCGCCAACAGCAUAAUCACUAGCAUCACACAUUAGCUUAAAAGGCAAAGACCAAUCAAGGGGUUGCAUUAUUGGGGCUGAUGUCAAAAGAGUAGUUAUUUUUUGAAAAGCUUGUUGACAAUCUUUAGUCCAUUCAAAUUGUGUGUCUUUUAUUAGGAGGUUACAAAUUGGUCUAGAUAAGGCACUAAAGUCUUUUAUAAACCUCUUAUAAAAUCCUGCAUGUCCUAAAAAAGAACGGACUUCUCUAAUUGUUUUUGGUGAGGGUAAUUUUGAAAUGACUUCAACUUUGGCUUUAUCAACUUCGAUUCCUUUUGAAGACACAACAUGGCCCAAGACAAUUCCAGAAGUGGUCAUGAAAUGGUAUUUUUCCCAAUUUAAAACUAGGCCUUUUUCUUUGCACCUUUCCAAAACUUUUUCUAGAUUAUCAAGACAUGUAUCAAAAGAAUUACAAAAUACAGUUAAAUCAUCCAUAAAAACCUCUAGAUAAUUUUCAGCCAUGUCACUAAAAAUGCUUAGCAUGCACAUUUGAAAUGUUGCAGGAGCAUUAGAAAGUCCAAAGGGCAUUCUCCUAAAUGCAAAUGUUCCAAAUGGGCAUGUGAAUAUGGUCUUUUCCUGGUCUUCUAAGGCUAUAAGGAUUUGAUAAUAGCCAGAGUAGCCAUCAAGAAAGCAGUAGUAGGGAUGUCCAGCUACUCUUUCGAGAAUUUAGUCUAGAAAUGGAAGGGGAAAAUGAUAUUUUCUAGUGGCAUCAUUUAAUUUUCUGUAAUCAAUGCACAUGCACCAACUAGAUGGAAUUCGUGAUGGGAUUGGUUCACCUUUUUCAUUUUUUACAACAGUUAUUCCAGAUUUCUUUAGUACUACUUGUGUUGGACUUACCCAUUUACUAUCGGAGAUAUGGUAGAUAAUUCCUACAUCUAGUAGGUUAAGGACCUCAUUCUUUACCACUUCUUUCAUAUGAGGGUUUAAUCUUCUUUGUGGUUGACGGGUUGUUUUGGCAUUUUCCUCUAAGUGUAUUCGGUGUGUGCAAAUUAAAUGAUUAAUGCCUUUUAUUUCUUUUAAGGUCCAACCAAAUGCAGUUUUGUGCCUUUUUAGUACAGAUAACAACUUACCUUCUUGAUCAUGCGUGAGCUGUGAAUAAAUUACCACCGGAUAUGUCUGUUGCUUUCCAAGAUAUGCAUACUUCAAUUCUUCUGGUAAGGGCUUUAAUUCGAGCUCUGGUGCUUCCUCUUCAUUUAGUUCUUCAGGUUGUACCGUAUCUUCAAAGUUUGAUCGGUCAUCAUCACCUAUAGGUACCUGCAUAGAAUCAAGUGUAGGGCAUAUGUUAGCAGUAUCACAAUCUAAUUCCUUACUUGAUUCAAAAGAACCAGUAAAACAAAUUUCCGCAGAGUUUGUAAAAUUCUCAUCCUGAAUGUGUUCCUCAAUGAUUGGCUCGAUGAGAUCAAUCUCCUCAUUCUCAUUAUCAUCAUCUUCUUGGUGGUGAGGUUGUUUACACAUAUUGAACACAUUAAGUUCCAGUGUCAUGUUGCCGAAAGAUAAAUUCAUUAAUCCAUUCCUGCAAUUAAUCAAAGCAUUAGCAGUAGCUAAAAAUAGUCGACCCAAUAUAACAUGAAUUUGUUUGCAUUCAUUACCAAUUAGUUCCGUUUCCAAAAUAAUAAAAUCCACAGGAUAUAUGAAUUUAUCGACCUAGACUAAUACAUCUUCAAUUAUUCCUUUUGGAACCUUAAUCGAUCUAUCAGCAAGUAAAAGAGUGGUAGAAGUUGGUUUUAACUCACCGAGAUUGAGUUGUUGGUACAUUGAGUAAGGAAGCAAAUUAACAUUGGCAUCAAGAUCAAGUAAAGCAUGUCCAAUUUAAUGAUCCCCAAUAGUGCAAGAAAUAAUUGGACAACCAGGAUCCUUGUAUUUCAAAGCACUAUUGGUUGAGAGAAUAUAACUUACCUGUUCUGCUAGAAAAGCUCUCUUUUGCACCUUAUGUUUCCUUUUCACUGUGUUUUCUUUGCCUUUUUCAUCUUUAUCAAGCUUGGUUGUUGUGCUCAUCAGAGUAUUUUUGGUCUUUGAGUCAUCAAUGCCGAAUCUUUUGAGUAGAUCUUUUACAUACUUGGCUUAAUUUAUGAAAAUUCCUUCCUCAUUUUGUUUUAUUUGCAGCCCAAGGAAGUACUUCAACUCUCCCAUCAUACUCAUUUCAAAUUCAUUACUCAUGCAUGAUGAAAAUUCUUUACACAACAAUUCAUUAGUAGAACAAAAAAUAAUAUCAUCAACAUAAAUUUGAACAACAAGUAUGUCUUUGUUCUUAUAUUUGACAAAGAGAGUAGUAUCCACUUUACCCAUUGAAAAAUCAUUUUCUAACAAGAAAUUCUUAAGCCUAUCAUACCAUGCUCUAGGUGCUUGUUUUAAUUCAUACAAAACUUUAAAUAACUUAUAAACAUGAUUUGGAAAUUUUUCAUUUUCAAAACCAGGGGUUUGUUUUACAUACACUUCUUAUGUAAUAUACUCAUUUAAGAAAGCACUUUUCACAUCCAUUUGAAAUAAAAUGAAAUCUUUAUAACAUGCAAAUGUCAACAACAUUCUAAUUGAUUCUAGUCUAGCUACGGGUGCAAAUAUUUCAUCAAAAUCAAUUCAUUCUUCUUGGUUGUAACCUUGAGCCACUAAUCUAGCUUUAUUCCUUACAACCAUACCAGAUUCAUCCAUCUUAUUUCUAAAUACCCAUUUAGUACCUAUGGUGGAUUGAUGUUCCGGCUUAGGAACUAAUUCCCACACAUUGUUUCUCUCAAAUUAAUUUAACUCCUCUUGCAUUGCCAUAAUCCAAGAUUCAUCAUUUUCCGCAUCCGAAAAUGAUUUGGGUUCAAUUUGAGAAAUGAAUGCAUUAUGCUCACAAGUGUUCCUAAGUGAUGAUCUAGUUGUAACACCUCGUGAGGGAUCUCCUAAAAUUACAUCCUUAGGGUGAGAAGAAACAUACCUGCACUCUUUGGGGAGUGAUUGAGAAAUACCUUCAUUUUGCUCUACAUUCGUUUCUUCAUUUUGCUCAUCUUGAUUCCCAUGAGACGCAUCCUUUUGGUUAUCUUUUGAUGACUCUUUUUGUAAUUUUUCAUCUGCAUCAUUAUCAACAACAACUUUCUCCGUAUAGGAAAGGUUAGAUUCAUCAAAUGUAAUAUGCAUAGAUUCUUCUACAACUAGAGUUCUUUUGUUAUAAACUCUAUAAGCUUUGCUUGAGUUUGAAUAUCCAAGAAAAAUUCCUACAUCGGAUUUUGGAUCAAAUUUGCCAAGAUUAUCUUUUGUGUUCAAAAUAAAACAUUUGCAUCCAAAAACUUUGAAAUAACCAAUAUUGGGUUUUCUAUCUUUCCAAAGCUCAUAUGGAGUUUUAUUAAAGUUAGAUCUAAUCAACACACGAUUUAAAACAUGACAAGCCGUGUUGACGGUUUAAAACAUGACAAGCCGUGUUGACGGUUUAAAACAUGACAAGCCGUGUUGACGGUCCGGCCCAAAAAUACUUAGGCAAUGAAUUUUCAUUCAACAUAGUCCUAGCCAUUUCUUAAAUUGACCUAUUCUUUCUCUCAACAACUCCGUUUUGUUGUGGAGUUCUAGGUGAUGAAAAUUGAAGCACAAUGCCCAAAUUGUUACAAAAGGUUUCAAAUGCAUGAUUUUCAAACUCUCCUCUAUGAUCACUCCUAAUGCAUGCAAUACCAUACCCUUUUUCAUUUUGAAUUUUCUUACAAAGCACUUUAAAAGCAUUAAGAGCAUCAUCCUUAUUAGCUAAUAAUAAUACCCAUGUAUAUCUAGAAUAAUCAUCCACAAUCACAAAUGCAUAAUAUUUUUCAUUUAAACUAGCAUAUCUAGAAGGCCCAAAUAAAUCUAUGUGCAGAAGUUGAAGUGGUUUUGAAGUAGAAAUAUGAUUUUUAUUUUUGAAAGAUGUUUUGAUUUGUUUUCCAAAUUGACAAACUUCACAAAUCUUAUCUUUUUGAAAACCAAUUUUUGGAAGACCUUUAACUAAAUCAUUUUUCGAAAUUUUCAAAAUCAAAUUCAUACUUGCAUGACCUAGUCUUCUAUGCCAUAACCAACUAUCAUCAUGCAAUGUCGAAAAACAUUUAUCAAGAGUAGAUGCACAUUCUAUGCCAAUGAUAUACACAUUACCACAUCUAUUUCCAACAAAUAAGAUCUUGCCAUCACAUGAAUUCUCAAUGACACAACUAAAUUUAUCAAAAACAACUUUAUAACCUUUGUCACAUAAUUGACUAAUACUAAUCAAGUUGUGUUUCAAGUUCUCAACCAAACAUAAAUUCUUAAUUAGAGUUGAGGAAACUUUACCAACAUUUCCAAUUCCGAGAAUUUUUCCUUUUGAGUUAUCUCCAAAAGAUACAUCUCCACCAUUUUCAAUUUUGGUGAAGCUUGAGAACCAUGCAUAGUUUCCAGUCAUGUGCCUUGAACAACCACUGUCCAAGUACCAUUUGUUUUUCUUCUUCUUCAAGUCUUGCAGAGAAAAUCUCAAGUUUUAGGUACCCAAAAUGUUUUUGGGUCCUUGAGACUUAGUUAUAGUUCCUUUUGGAACCCAAAUGCAUUUCAUACCAUAAUAUGCAUUUCUUUUUACUGGACACCUAUUUUUCAUAAGACCAUCUUGAUUACAAAAAUGACAUACAACUUGAUUGCUACUAGAUGUACUUUUCACAAAGUAGUUCUUAUAAUAUUUUUGUUUCAAGUUUGGCUUAUAACCAAUAGUUCCUUUGUCAAACACACAUUUUUGUGAAUUUAGCAUGCUAUCCAACAUCUUUUGCCCAUUUGUAAAUUUCAAGACAAUUUCAUUUAACUCAUUGCUCUUUUUCUUAAGCGUUUCAUUUUCAUUUUUCAAAUCAUUUAUGUGUGAUUCUAAAUGCUCAUGUGAAGUGCUAGGUUUCUCUUUUGAUACUGCAAUUCUAUCAUGAAAUGUUUUGUUCUCCAUUUCUAGGCAUGUAAUUUUAGCAUUUAGAGAUUCAUUUUCAUUUUUAAGUUUUGCCAUUUCCUUUUUAAGACAUACAUUCUUUUUACCAAUCUUCAUCAACUCAUUAUGCAAUUCUUUAAAAGCAUCAUACGAUUCAUCAUAGGUAGGAUCACUUACCUUAUUGAGAUCAUCAUCCUCUCCUAUUGCCAUAAGCGCUAGGUUUGAUACUUCUUGCGACUCUUCUUCAUCACUUGAAUCUUCCUCGCUAUCAUCCCAAGUUGCAACCAUGGCUUUCUUCUUGAGUUUGUUGAUAAGUGGGCACUCCGAUCUUAUAUGGCCAUGCUUCUUGCAUUCAUAGCAUGUGAUUACCUCUUUCUUCUCCCUUUGGUUCUUGAAGUUUUUGAAUUUUCUUCGCUCUCCGGUUUUCUUGAAAAAUUUUCUAAACCUCCUUGCUAGCAUGGCCAACUCUUCAUCAUCCGGUUCACUCUCCCAAUCACUCUCAUAUUUUGAAGCUUUGAGAGCAAUGCUUUUCUUCUCCUCCUCAUGCCCUUUUUCUGCUGCCAAAUCUUCUUCAUAUGAAAUGAGAGAACCAAUUAAAUCAUUAAGAGGUAAAAUAUUUAAAUUUUUGGCCUCUUCAAUAGCGGUUCUUUUAGGUCUCCAUUCUUUGGAAGUGACCUAUUGAUUUUCUUAACUUUUUCGCUAUUUGAGAAGGUCUUUCCUAGGGCUCCUAGGGUGUUUACUAUAUCCGUAAAUCUAGUAUACAUAGAGUAAACACUCUCAUUUUGUUCCAUUUGAAACAACUCAUAUUGUCGAGUGUACCUACUAAUUUUUGACUCUUUCACUUGAUUUGUGCCUUCAUAGACAACUUCAAGUUUGUGCCAAAUUUCAUUGGCACUUUCACAACUAGAUACUCGUUGAAAUUCUUUCUUAUCAAGUGCACAAAAUAAAGCAUUCAUAGCUUUGUAAUUUAGAGAAGCUUUUCUCUUUUCCAAUUCAUUCCAUUCCCGUGAAGGUGUUGGAAUAUCUUCCCCGACUUCAUUUUUAGUUAAGGGCAAAAACGGACCAUCACAUACAACUUCCCAAAUUUCAUAAUCUAGUGCUUGUAAAUAAAUUCUCAUCCUAGUUUUCCAAUAUGGGUAGUCAUUUCCGUCAAAGAGCGGUGGUCUAGUUGUGGACUGUCCUUCCCUAAAUGUUGAGUCAUUUUGGGUUGCCAUGGAUCUUUUACUCUAGACGGUUAAAUCUGAACAAGAGAACCAAGCUCUAAUACCAAAUGAAAUACAAGUUUGCAACCUAAGAGGGGGGGUGAAUUAGGAUUCUAAAAAUUAUUAUGCAAAUCUAAAAUGAAUUUAAAGCAAUAACAAUUAAAUCAAUUACAAUAUAAAAAGAUAAGGGAAGAGAGAUUCAAACAUGAAGAUUUUUACGUGGUUUGGCCAACCUCGCCUACGUCCACGCCUCCAAGCUUUCCGGGCUUGAAGAUUUCACUAAGCAAGCCUCCAAGGCUUCAAAUGCUUACACUUGACAUCCAAAGUGUCAGUAACCCUUUACAACAAGAGAUUAUCCCCAAUCUCUUAACUCAAGUGUAACCCAACACUUACAAUCACUCAAAAUAAAAUAUUACAAAUUGUUUUUCUCUCACACAAUAUUUAAGAUUACAAAUUAAUGCCCAAUGUGUGAAUAGAUGAAGCAAGAAUGUGUUUAAAGCUCUAUGAAGAUUGUAUUCUCGAAUAUAAGCUCAAUAGUCGUGUUGUGAUCAACCUUAUUUGAAUUUGAAUGAGCUUAUUUAUAGUUGGAGCUGAAAAACUAGCUGUUACAGACUGUCUGCCCGAAAACGGUUCGCCAUUAACCAUUAUCGGUUAACCGUUUAGACUAGUCAAAGUUACCGUUGGGCCAAAUUUUAAAUAAAUGAUUUGCCAUUUAGGCUUACCCUUUCGCUGUUAAAUUCCAGAGACCUGUAAGAUAAACUUUAGUUAUCUGUUUACAUUAAACGGUUAAAGAUUUGCACGAAAUAACCUUUCUGGAAUUUAUCGGUUAGCCGUUUGUAAUUAACGGUUCACCGUUUAUUUCCAGUAACCUAUAGAACAAAAUUAGCCUUAUCCGUUUCAAUUAAACUUUUGCCGUUUGUUUCCAGUAACAAGAUGAGUACAAUCUUCCAUUCUGGAUUUUAUCGGUUAACCGUUUCAAUAAACGGUUCACGGUUUAAUUCCAGUAGCCUUCUCAGCAUUUUGUGUUUUUCAUUUUUCUUAACCGGUUAGAGCUUAAGCAAUUCGUUACUCUAUGGAUUUAAUUGGUUAACCGUUUAAAGGAAAAUGAUUCACCGUUUAUUUUCAGAAUCACAGUUUUAGCCAGAUAUUGCAGAGAAUUAUUUUUCAAUUUCAAGUUUAACAGUUAUCCAACUUUUAUGAAUAUAAUAGGAAUGAUUAUAAGGCUUUCGUUUAUUAAUGAAUAUCUCCAACAUUUUAAUAAAAAAUAUUUAAAGUUUGUUAGCAUCAAAAUCAAUAUUAUGAACAUAUACAUGUUAACACCUAUGCAUGAAAAUGAACACUAGGAAAGUUUCCAGGAAAGACUGGAGGGUUACAACGAUCCCGCUUAAAACCCAAGCUCCUUAGGCUCUUAUUGUCUUUGUGAUAGAACUUUUCUAGAUAUGUGCACAACCAUACAGUUGCUCCACUCACCACUAUUCCCUACUUUGUACCGCAAAAUUCUCGUAUAUGCUUUCACUGUUUCACAUGAAUAGUACCUUGUAUUUGAAUAGUACUAUAGUGUGAACAAUAUCGUAUUUAUGAACAAUAGCCCGACUCCAAGAAAUACAGCCAAUGGCUCUGAUACCAUUGUUAGAAAAUUGAUGGGUCAAGUGGACACAUAACUAAAUUGAAAUUGAGAAACAAUGAUCAUACAAGAAUACUAGAAUUACGUAAUUCGGAUUUUAGCCUACAUUCACGAGUAAAAAUAGAAGGAUAAUAGUUUUUUUACUUGUGAUGUAGAGUAUACAAGUAUUAAAAAUAUUUUACCUCACUACCCAAGACUCUUAAUAUUCCCAAUACUCUCACGCACUAAACUCUCAAAAGCAUUAUCAUUUUAAGCUCUCUAAAUCUCUCUCACAACUCUCAGUUCUCUCUUCACAAAAAGAAGGAAAAAAAAUAGAUUAAUGCCCUCAAUUGAGAUACGCUUUCUUUAAUAGGCAAAAUUUUGCCAAAAACAUUCAACAAUUGUAGGCUUCAAAAUCAAAUAAUGCGGCACCGAAUUCAAUGUGCCGCUUUUGGUGAGCAAAGUUGUCGGUUGUUGAGCCACCGACUUCGACAUGAUUUGCGUGAGCAAAUAGUUUGUUUGGAAUUAAAAAUUGGUUUGGCUGCCAUAGAAAUUGAGUGGUUCUUCAUUGUGGGUUCUGAUUUGUGGCCUUAAUUGAUUUGAAAUUGAUUUGAGUUCACUUGAUGAGAUUGUGUCUGAUACGCUGAACUUCUUUUUUCACUCAAAAUUUGAUCAAGUGAUUGUGUAUGAUACGUUCUAACUGAGGAUUAUGAGUCAAUGUAGUUUCAUCAUAAUGUUCUUGCAACUUGACUCUCCAAAAUGAUUUCUGGAGGAUGAAAAUGUUUUUGUUAGCACAUUUAUAGUAGGGAUGGCACAUAAUGUAUGGUGAGGUAUAUCUCAUGUGUCCCUCCAAAAUGGUUUUCCUCACUUCUUUGUACCUGUGUUUUUGUUUUGAUAAUUUAUUGUACAUUUAAUCCCAGUAGUUGUAUGUUUAGACGAGCUUUUAGAUUCAGCUUGCAAUGGAUGCUUUGCAAUAAAAAUUGUAAACCAAAGCACAAUGUCUUCAACUAUGCUUUUUUACACUUAUGGUUUCUCAAUACCUUCUCACCUGGUUUCUCUCAUUAAUUUGUUGUUGGGUUUUGAUAUAUUUUCGGAAUGUUUGAUAAUGUUUUGGUUUCUUAAGAUUACUUUUGAAUGGUUCAAAAUUAAAAAUGUUAGAUUGAUAAGUUUUUUUUUCUUUUUCCUUUUUAAGAUUUGACAAUUUUGACGAUAUGAUCAGGUUAAUAACUUAGAUGAUUUAUUUAAUGGCUUCAUAAUUUUAUAUAAUUUUGUAGAUAUAAUUGACUUCGAGCAAUUGCAUAUAAGUAAGAAGAAAAUGUAAAUCAUGUAGUCAUAUAAUAAUAAAAAAAUGAAAUUAAUAUGUUUUUGUAGAAAAUAUUUGGCAAUCAAUAAUACUAGUAGAAAAAUGUAAAAUUGUUUGCGGGAAAAAAAUUGGCAAUAAAAGGUGGUGCAAAAGAAGUGAAAUCAAUUGAUUUUAGUAGGGAUGACAAUGGAUCGGAUUUGACUCAAGAUCCAUCUUAUUAAAAUCAAAUUGGAUUGAAUUUGGGCCGAUUUAAAAUGGAUUUCGAUUGGAGUUGGAUAUCGAUGUGCGGAUCUAAGAUGAAUUUGGAACAGGUCUGAAUCUAUCUUAAUAUAUAGAUCCAAAUCCAUAUCCACAUAUCUUUUAAUUUUAUUUAAUUUUAAAAAUUUCUUAACAAUUUUGUAAUUAUAAAUGAUAAAAAAUUUUAUUCAUGUAUUUAAAAAUCGUAAAACUUAAAUAUUAAUUUUUUAAAAUUAAAUGAUAAUAGGGCAAAAAUAAUUAAGGUUAGCCAGCCUUAAAGCAUGCACAUACAAUAUUCAAAUUGCAAGUCAAGUAAUACUGUAAUAGCACCUGUCAACUUGUUUUAUUAUAUUGGCCAAAUAUUUUUUAAGGAAUAUAGUUAUUCGUCCCAUGCACUCGUGCAUAUUAUCUCAAAAUUAACUUUCCAAAUUGUCCUUGAAAAGAGGCAUACGAAAACGAUUAAACAAACGUCUUAUUAUUUUUUUAAGUUGGCACUUCAAUUUGCCCUAAUUUCUUUUAAUUAUUCAUUCUUUAGUUCAAUUCAACGUCAGCCUUUUUCUUUCUCUUCAAUAUACUCUCGGUUCUUUACUUCGUUUGAAUGCUUGGAUCAGUCCUUUAAUUGCCAGGUAAGUUGUUAGACUUGAUUUUUUUUUUACCAUUAUUUGUUUAUGUCCUUAUUCAUAUUGUGUCAUCACUAAUCAGUGUAGCUAUCUCUAUAGUUUAAUUAAAUGAUACUAAAUUAGGAAUAUGGCAAUCAUCAAAUUACGUAUUAGUUUUCCAUUAUCCUUGCUUAAUUUUGAUUGUUAACCAGUAUUAUAUACCUGUAGGUUAGCUUUUAUUUGAAUAUAUUCUAAAUUCUGAUAGUUGAUUUCAUUAAUAAAGAAUCGGUGUGAAUGAAGAUUAAAUGAGAAGAUUUUAAUUAUUUUUUUAAUUUAUGCUCCUAAUUUUAAAUAUUCACUAAAAAAAAAUUGUAUUUAUUUACUUGUCUAAUAGUGAUGCAUAAUAAUAAUUUUUUUUCAGUGACAUAGACACUUAAUGUUUUUGGUUAUUUCUUCAUUUAGGUGAAAUAUGCAUUUCAGUCUUAAUUUGCCACAGUCAGAAAAUGAUGAUGAUGGGCAUGAUGUUGUUGAAGUAAUUGAACCAUCAAAUGGGAUAGAGUUGAAUUCGACUUCACCAAUUCCUAAAGAUGAAACUGUUGUUGUGAGUAAAAAGUUGAAGUCUAUUGUGUGGAAUCAUUUUUCAAGGCAAAAGAUUAAUGGACAGUUGAAAGUAGUUUGUAACCAGUGCAAUGGAAAGUUGGUUGCCGGAGGUGGAACGAACCAUUUACAUAAGCACUUGCUUAGAUGCCCAUGACGUAAGCAACCAACAAUCAAGAAUGCUAUGUUGAAUGCUACUCAAAAUAAAGGGAAACCCUAAGUUGGGGCAUUUUCUUUUGAUCAUGACACGUCAAGAAGAGAGCUUGCAAAUAUGAUUAUCAAGGAUGAAUAUCCUCUUAGUAUGGUUGAACAUUCUGCAUUCAGUAAGUUAGUUAGUUCUUUACAACCCAUGUUUAAGGUCAUUUCUCAAAAUACGCUGAAGAUAGAUAUCUUCAAGUGAUAAUCUAAGAUAAUGAAGUUGUUGGGGAGCAAUCAAAGUGAAAUCUCUAUUACUACUGAUUUAUGGACUUCUAAUCAAAAUAUGGGUUGUAAAUAAUUUUUAGAGGCUGCAAAGUCGCCUCAUAAGGUAUUUUCUAUAGCAUCAUUUAUUUAUAUCUUUGUCAUUUCCUUUUCAUUAUGAUUAAUAAACACUCAAUUCAUAUAAUAAUAUUUUGGUUAUGCUAUUUGUCAUUUUUAUUGAGGUUUAUACAUGUGAUGUGUCCACACACUGUUGAGGUGCUUUCCGAUAAUUUAAUGGAAUGCUUAUUAGAUUGGAAUAUUGAUGGAAAAUUGUGCUCUUUAACAGUUGAUAAUACCACUGCUAACGAUGCUAUGGCUGUUGUCCUCUUAGACAAACUUUCUAAUUCAUUAUUAUUAAAUGGGAGGUUGUUUCAUAUGCAUUAUUGUGCACAAAUCUUGAAUUUGAUAGUGAAGGAUGGGUUAGAUGUCACUGGUGAAAGUAUUGAGAGAAUUUGUAAUAGUGUUUCUUAUUGGAAAAUGACACCAAAAAGGCAUAAAAAAUUUAUGAAGGAUGUUCGUGAAUUAAAAAUUUCAAGCACCAAGCAAUUGAUUCUUGAUUGCAAAGCGAGGUGGAACUCUAACUAUUACAUGCUUAACACUGCUUUAGUUUAUAAAGAAACAUUUUCUUGUUUAAAACCACAAGAACUGCAAUAUAAAUAAUUGCCUAGUGAAGAAGAUUAGGAGUUUGCAAAAGAAAUUUGUUGUAGGCUUGAAUUCUUUGAUGAAGUUGAUUGCAAAACGAGGUGGAACUCUAACUAUUACAUGCUUGACACUGCUUUAGUUUGUAAAGACACAUUUUCUUGUUUAAAACCACGAGAACUACAAUAUAAAUCAUUGCCUAGUGAAAGAAGAUUAGGAGUUUGCAAAAGAAAUUUGUUGUAGGCUUGAAUUCUUUGAUGAAGUUAUAAAGUUUUUUUCUGGCCCGAAAUAUCCCACAAACAAUUUGUAUUUUUAUUGUAUUUGUGAGAUUAGAAUAUCUAUUUCUAAAUGGCUAGGUUCUAGUAAUGAAAAAAUAAGGAUAAUGACAAAGAAAAUGUUAGAAAAAUAUGACAAAUAUUGGAGUGUGAUUAAUGAGUUAAUGGCAAUGGCAACUAUUUUUUACCCUAGGUAUAAGAUGAAACUAGUAGAAUACUAUUUUCCUAUACUUUACAGAGUUGAUUGUGAACAUAGAAUUGGGAUUGUCUGUAAAUAUUGUUACGAUUUAAUGAAGGAAUAUAAGCAAAAUCAUGUGCACAUGUUUAUCAAUCUAAUGAGCCCUUAAUUACUCAAUCCCUAAUGCAGGCAUUUCAUUUAGGAAGGGAACAACGUAGAGCUAUUUUUAAGAAAUUUGUUAAUCAAAGUACUAGUACUGACCAUGUGAAGUCUAAGCUAGACUAUUAUUUAGAGGAAUCUGUUCUGCCUCGAACUGAUACCAUUGACAAACUAGGGGGGGUGGAAGGUGAAUGGAUCUAAAUAUCCUACUUUGUGCAAUCUUGCUAAGGAUAUUUUGGCUAUUCAUGUAUCCACAGUUGCAUCUGAGUUUGCAUUUAGUACCAGUGGUAGAUUUAUGACACCACAUCCCAAUAUACUCUAUCCAAAUACAUUAGAGGCUUUAAUGUCUUGUCAAGAUUGGUUAUUGGCUGAAAAUGCAGGUACAAAUUUUUAUAAUUGAAUUCUUUAUUUUAUAUUCACUAUUUUUUGUCUAAUUAAUUAAAUUUUUAUUUAAUUUUUGUGCUCAGAAUCAAAUUUAUGUUCUUCAAUACAUACCAGAUUGACAUAUUCAGAAGAUGUGGACAUGGAUGAGGUAAAAUUAACUAUGUCAUUCAUAUAUUUAGUUAAAUAUAGUCAUAAUAAAAAUAAUAAAGCACUAAAUAUAUUUAACUUAUAUGUCAUUAUCUAAUGUUGUAGGAAAGAUGAUGGUUGUGCCGUGAUAGUAAGAUGAUGGAGAUAAUAAAAUAUUAGAUUGAUCUUACUACUGCAAUUACUUUUGAAGGAUAUUUUAUUAUCUUUCUUAUUUGCUUGUUUUGGUGAAAAAGCAUAAGGCACAAUAUUUAUUAGAUUUUUGAGACAAAUUAUAUAAUUUAAUUGUUAUCAAUACAUUUUAGUUUUUUAUUUUCAUUCUAAAAAAUUAUUGCUCUUUUAUUGUUAAGUUUUAGAAUUCACGCCAGAUAUAGAACAUAUUUAAAUUUUAUUUUUUUUUAGAUUUAGAGCAGAUAUAUAUAUUUAUUUCUUUUUUAGUUCUAGAUAUGUAGUAAACAACAUAGGUUUAUGAUAGAUCUAGAGCAAAUGCGAAUCUCAAUUUUUACUAUGGAUCUGGAUGUAAAGUAAUGUAAAUCCAACUCAUAUCUGCCCCAUUGCCAUCUUGAGAGUUUAGUUGUGGCCAAUUUUAUUGUGACAAAGUUCCCUGCAAAUUCUUUUUCCAGGGUGAAAAAUGGCUACAAAAAGUUAGGAACUUUUUGCGGGGGAACUUAUUGCAGCUAACAUUUCGGCCACAAAUACUCAAGUUUUGGCCGCAAAAAGGUAUUUAUGGCCAAAUUUGGUUUAUUUGUUGGGAAUUCUUUUGGCCGCCAAGACUCUUUUUUCUUGUAGUGGGCCUGCUUAUAAAGCAGAUUGAAGAGACAGAAGAUUAAUCAUACAACAUUUUCGAUUCAUAUCUAUAACAUGGCUGUUGCUUGUAGACAAAUUUUGCCUAUCAUUAUUCUUACAUUGUGCUUAAUGUGCAAUUAUAUGAUUGUAGAAGGAAAUGAAUCUUUGGUGACGGUCCAUGUAAGCGUAGAUAUGCCUGCCCCUAGUCCUUGUUUAUAUGUAACAUGGGUUAAUUGCACUGGGAUGUGGUACAAGCUGACGCCAGGUGAGGAGUUUCAUUUUACAGAUGACAGAACGAGUCGUUAUGUGUGCCAUGCAAUGUGGCGUGACAAAGAGGGAAUUUGGCUUGCAUUCGAGUCUGUAAGAGAUCGAAAUCAUACAAAAGUCUUUUCUUCGUUGAGAGAGGAUGGAUUCUUUUUGAGUUAUGAUCAGUGUAAUUGGUCUAAGUUGAGUGAAUGGCAUGUUUAGAAUUGUUUCGACUUUUGUUCUAGAGUUUAUCAUGAUUUAAUAAUAAGCACAAUACAAUAAUAAUUAUGGUACUUUUGCCUUUUAGACUUUCUUUUAGCGCUUGUUCAAGCAGUUUCGAUUUCGUUGUCAAUUCUAAUAAGUACUGUUAAAGUGAUUUUCAAUUUUUAUCAAGUGCUUGAAUGUGUAAUUGAAAUUGCAUUUUUGAUGAGAGCUAAAUAUAAUGAUGAAAAGCGUUUAACAAGCAUUUUUUUAUUAAGUGAUUUUCAUAGAAAAUUUCUCAAACGCAUAGGUUGGGCCAUCAAAUUUCAUGAAGAGGAUGGAGUAUUUACUGGUAGAAAUUAGAGAAGACAAUUGUCCCGGAUGGGAAGGAAUUUGACAAUCUUGCUCCCGUUUGGGUUACUCAAACAGGAUAUACAUAUGGAUUCAAUUCCAUGUCAUAUGUGAGUUUGGGAUCAAAAUUAGGACCAAUCGCAGACCUCUCAAAAUCUCAUCUCAUCCUGAUUAUCCUCCUGAUUGUCUUGCUCAAUUAACAUUUUAAUUCUGUUUAACGUAUUUAAUAAUAUUUAAUCUAAAUUGUCCAUUAACAACUCAAUUAACAUUAAAAUACCACAUCUCCGAUACAAUGAUUCAUUCUCAGCCUAAUAGUUGCAUCAAAGCAAUAGAAAUUAGGAGAUCCAAAAGAUACAAGUUCCAACGCUAACCACUAAAUGAAAUCAAUACCUAUAUGAUGAUGGCUGAUUAUGGUAUAUAUGGUUAUGGCCAAUUUUAAACCAGUUCAUUUUUGUAGUCCAUGUCGUAGCCAAACAAGCCUGAUUUUUGCACCUUCCAAACAAUGCACUGAGUUCUAAUUAACCCUCUCCUUGAUGUAAAACAUGAGCUCCCUAAUCAUCGUCUCCGGAUUUACAAUGAAUUGUAAGAUCUACUGCGUCGAGAUUAUUGUAAACUGUAAAAUUAGUGAGACGUUGAGGCAUGACAUAAACGUCAACGUCUUCUCCAGGGGAUUUAAUGAUCUCGUAGAAUUGGCAGUGACACAAGGUAGCUCCUGCCGCAAUGCAAAAAUAAUAAAAAUUUGUUAAUCAGACUCUUGUUUUCGGGUUUAUUUUGUUGAAAUUAUUUAAAUUCCUUGCUCUUAUAGUUCUACUUAUAUACAAAAAGGCUUCGAGUACUUUUUAUGAAACAAAUUACGAACGGAUUUUUUGGAUUUGGAAACACAAAUGUUGAGGGAAAUUUGAAUUAUUUCUUGAAUAAUUGUACUAAUUAAUUGAUUAUUGGUAUCUUUGUACUGAAGUUCUUUUCCAUCCCAUAGUCAAAUCAGAGCAAUAGGGGCCCAACUAGGAGUGGUAAUAUUUCCUAUUGUGAUGGGAUCCUAAGAGAUCCCGUCCCAUUUGAGAUUAAACAUAUUUUUACAUCUUAAAUUAAAGUUUGAUGGAAUAAGGAUAAAAAAUAAGUCUUGUAAUUAUUUGUGGGAUGGGAGGAGGACCAAUUAUAAAAUUUCGUCCCGUCCUUUAUAUCCCAUUAAUAAUAUAAUUUUAAAAUUAUUCUAAAUUUUUAAUUAUUUUAUAAUUUUAACUUAAUAACAUUCAAAGUUGAAAUCCAUUAAAUUGGUUACUGUUUAAAUCUAUAACUUUUGAAGCGUAAGUCUUAAUAUCAAGUGCGAUAGAAGCAAACAUGCAAGUAAAAAAUGUUAGAUAAAAAUUAUAUUCAAACAUGCAUGUAGUCAAAAUAAAACUGUUAUUUGAUUAUUCUACUUUGUAUUUAUUCAAAAAUUUUGCUAUAUUAAAUUAUGAUGGUCCUUAAAAGAAAAAAAAAUCAAAAUUUAUUUAUUUACAUUCAUGACUAGUCAGGAUAAUGAGAUGAGACAAGAUAUUUAACGAGACCAGAUUAUGAUAAAUUUUUAUUCCAAAAAAUAGGAUGGAAUUGGAUAUUCUUUUAUAACAAUUGGAUAUUCUUUUAUCACAGUUGCAUAUAUGGGACAUGAUUAAGAUUGGCAAUGUUGGAGAAUCAACAAAUUAAACACUCAAAAAACACACUAUUUUAUUUUUUCAACUACACUCCUCACUAAUUACAACUUUUAUUUUUCACUCUCUACACCUUAGAGAUUUUGUUACUUCACUUGAUGCAUAACCAAAUGACACAAGGGGUAUUUAUAGUAAAUGAGAAGAAAUCUAAACCAUUCAAAUAAGAAAUUAUAAAAAAUUAAUAACCAUUCAUCUUCACCUACCAAACCCACCACACCUAACACAAAUAAUUCAAAUCUCACCAACCAUACCUACUCAUGGAACCUUCCAUGAGUUGGGCUUGAAUUUAUUCAUCUUGGAUCAAAUUUAUGAUCCAACACCCCCCUUAAACUUGAUCCUGUGACACCAAGCAAACUUCUGAAUUUUACGAAGUCUUCUUGCUUGAGCGACUUGGUGAAGAUAUCAACUGCUUGAUCUUGUGAUUUUACGUACUUGAUUUGGACUUCUUUUCUUGCAAUACACUCUCUUAUGAAAUGAUAGCGAGUAUCUAUGUGUUUGCUUCGAUCAUGAAAGACUGGAUUCUUAGAUAGGGCAAUUGUUGAUUUGUUAUCAAUACAAAUCUCGCUUGGCUCUUCUUGUGGCAAACUCAACUCCUUCAGCAAAUUUAUGAGCCACAUUACAUGACAAACACUUGAUGUGGCAGCUACAUACUCAGCUUCGCAGGUGGAUAGCGUGACAAUUAGUUGCUUCUUUGACAUCCAUGUGAAAGCAAUAUCUCCCAUUAAGAAUACAAAUCCUAUGGUGCUCUUUCGAUCAUCUACAUCUCCACCCCAAUUGCUAUCGCUAUAUCCAACAAGCUUGUAGUCAUUAGAAAAUGAGUAUAACAAGCCGAAAUUAAUUGUAUCUUUGAUGUAGCAAAGUAUUCUUUUUGCAGCUUUAAAAUGAGUGGUCUUUGGAUUCUCCAUGUAUCGACUUACAAGUCCAACAGCAUAAAGGAUAUAUGAUCUUGUGCAUGUCAAAUAACAUAGGCUUCCGACCAAACUUUUAAUGAAUGUUGGAUCUAUAUCUUCGCCUUCAUCAUGUUUGGAUAACUUGACUCCGCAUUCCACUGGCGUGCUUAUAGGCUUGCAAUCAUUCAUCUUGAACCUUUUGAGAAUCUCCUUUGCAUAGCUUUAUUGGGAGAUAAAUAUACCUUCUUUCUUUUGCUUGACUUCAAUACCGAGGUAAUAUGCCAUCAGUCCGAUGUUAGUCAUCUCGAACUCUUUGAUCAUCACUCUCUUGAACUCUUCAAAUAAGCUUGGAUCACUUCCAGUGAAAAUGAGAUCAUCCACAUACAAGCACACAAUCAAAAUGUCUCCAUCUUUUUCUUUGACGUAGAGAGCAUGUUCAUAUGGGCAUUUGGUGAAGCCAUUCUCUUGAAAAUACUUGUCAAUUCUACUAUUCCAUGCCUUUGGUGCUUGUUUUAACCCAUAAAGAGCUUUCUUCAAUCUCAAAACUUUGUCUUCAUGUCCUUUCACCGAAUAGCCUAAUGGUUGUUCGAUGCAAACUUCUUCAUCAAGGAAUCCAUUCAAGAAAGCAAGCUUCACAUCCCUUUGAAAAAUCUUUAAUUUGUUCUGAGCAGCCAAAGAAAUAAUAAAUCUAAUAGUUUCAAGUCAAGCUACAGGAGCAAAUACCUCGUCGUAGUCUAUACCAGCUUUUUGACUAUAGCCUUUUGCAACUAGCCUCGCCUUGUGCCUUUCAAUUUCUCCCUUCGCAUUUCUUUUCGUUUUGUACACGCAUUUGACACUGAUUGCCUUGUGACCUUUGGGAAGAGUAGUAAGCUUUAAUUUCUUCAUCCAUUGCAAUUCUCCAUUUCUCAUCUAGUGCAGUUUCUUGGAAGUUGACUGGCUUAUAAUCAGCAUAGAGACAAAAGAGAAUAAGAUUAUCAUGUCUCUCAGUUACCUCAUAGAGAUCUCGAAGACUCCUUAUAUGUUCUUCAAUUCUUUCAUUUAAGAAAGAUGGUGGUGAAUCUCCAUAUGUGGUUGAUGCUGGUGAGAUAGGUGGAGUAGCUGGCUCUUAUUGUUCUUCUAUUUUUUUUUAUCUGAGUAUGAUCAUCUUCUUUAAUGGGAAAGAAGUUGAAGUCAUCUACACUCGAGCCAAAAUAUCAUUUUCCUUCUUUAUCAAAAACUACAAAUCGACUGAUCACGAUCUUCCCGUUGUUUGGAUUGUAAAGCUUGUAUCCUUUGGAGUUGUUGUCAUAACCGAUGAAGAUGAACUUCUCACUUUUGUCAUCCAGCUUGGCUCUACUUUUGUCUAGUACAUGUACAUGGGCAAUGAUUCCGAAAACUCUUAGAUGGGUGAUGCCGGGCUUUCUUCCACUCCAAGCUUGUUGUGGCGUCUUGCCCCACACAUUUAUUGUUCGAGAUCGAUUGGAUAAGUAGACUGCACAUGCAACAGUUUCAGCCCAAAAUUUUUUAGGUAGUCUCUUACUCUUGAGCAUGCUUCUUGCCAUAUUGAGGAUGGUUCUGUUCUUUCUUUCUUCAACACCAUUUUGUUGGGGGGAUCUUGGAACUGUCAAAGGACGUCGAAUUCCAUUUGCUUCAAAAAACUCUAUGAAUUCAUUGGAAGUGAACUCUCCACCUCGAUAAGAUCUCAUGGCUUUAAUAUGGUAUCCACUUUCUUUUUCCACUGCAGCUUUAUACUUCUUGAAAGCUUUAAAGACUUCUGAUUUAUGCUUCAAAAAAUACACCCAAAUUUUUCUUGAAAAAUCAUCUAUAAAGAGAAGGAAGUAGUUACUUUUACCAAGGGAGCUUGGCUUGAAUGGACCACACACAUUAAUAUGAAUGAGCUCGAGUGGCUUCUAAGCUCUUGAGUUUGACAUUUUUGGAAAGCUCUUUCUGAACUGCUUGCCAAGUAAACAUCCUUUACAAAGUUUAUCAGAGUGAUUGAUGUAUGGUAAGCCUUUCACUAUGUUCUUCUUGGAUAGUAACUCCAGUCCUCCUAAGUUGAGAUGCCUAUAUUGAAGAUGCCAAGUCUAAGAUGGAUCUUUGUAACAGGCUUUGAGACAUUUUGCAACAUCAUUUUGAAUAUUUAAAGGAAACAUUCUAUUCUUCGACAUUUUCACAUUUGUAAUUAUAUUUAUUUUGUCAUCUCUUAGGAAAAGACUACAAUCUUUUAAAUGAAUAUCAUUGCCUUUUUCCAAGAGUUGACCGAAACUAAGGAUGUUGCUUUUCAUAUUGAACACAUAGUAAACAUUUGAAAUUAUUUGGUGGCUACCAUCUUUUGCAUGAAAAAUAUUGUUACCUCUACCCUUCACUGCUACUUUUGAAUCAUCUCCAAAAGCGACACUGCCAUUCACAGAUUCAUUUAGUUCCAUAAACAUGCUUCUGUUUCCGUUCAUAUGAUUGCUAGCACCUGUGUCAAGAUACCAUGUAUUUUCUUGACCUCCACUUGUGUCAUUGCGUGAUAGUAAAAGGGUGCAAUCUUUACCAUUUUUCUCUUCAACAAAAUUCACUCUCUCAUCAAUUCUGGUACUUAGAGCUUUACAUUCUGAAGCAUAUUGCCCAAACUUUUGACAAUUAUAGCAUUGUACUUGGGAUUUUUCAUACCUCGAUCUUGGAUUGCCUCUACCUCGUCUUCUGGUUGAGCUUUCUCCUUUGGCAUAAUUGGAGUUGUUGUUGUUGAAAUUCCAACCUCGUCCGUGACCGCGACCUUUACCUCAUCCUCGACCUCUACCUCGAGCAUAAUGUCUUCUCUCGUUGUCGGAGCUUUCUUCUCUUUUCUUUGGAUUGACUUCCAUCUUGAGAAGUUGUUCUUUGAUUCCUUACUUCUUUUUUAGUUUUUCUUCAUUGGCUUGCAACUUUCCUUGAAGUUGCUCGGUCGUCAUAUCCUCGAAAUCUUUUGUUUCCUCAAUUGUCACAAUAAUAUGGUCAAACUUCGAGUCUAUUGAUUGAAGUAUCUUUUCAAUGAUCCUUACCUCUUUUAAAUGCUCACCAUUUCUUUUUAAUUCAUUGGAAAUAGUCACAACCUGAGUAAAGUAGUCAAAAAUUGACUCCGAUGCCUUCAUGUGUAAUGACUCAAAUUCUCCAUGUAAUGUUUGGAGACGAACCUUCUUAACUUGCUCUGCUCCUUAGUAAGAGGUCUCUAGUUUCUCCCAUGCUUCUUUUAAGGAGGUUGUACCAGCAAUCUUUUCAAAAGCAUCUUCAUCUAAUGAUUGAAAAAUGAGAUACUUUGCUUUAUUAUAUUUUUUCUUCAAGUCUUUUAAAUUCUACUUCUGCACCACAGUUAAAGUGACUUCAUUUUCUGGCACAAUAAAGUCUUUCUACACGACAUCCCAUAUGUCAUGUGCACCCAAUAGAGCCUUCAUUUUAAUACGCUAGUUGUCAAACUUCCCUUUAACUGUGGAACUUGAAAUGACAUCAUACCACCAUUUGCCAUAACUCACAAAUUGAGUGAGGAUUUUGAGAUUCUGAAUGUAUGGAUGGAUCCGGCACGUUGAAAAACCUUGGGAGGGACUUGAGUCAACUUUUGCUCAACGGUCAACGGCGGUCAACGGUCAACGUCGGCUUAGUUGACUUGGUUCUGUCCUGUUUGGUUCGGCUCGAGUUGGUUCGGUUUGACUUGAUUCGGUUCAGCUCGGCUCAGCUUGGUUCGGUGAGUCGACUCAGCUUCAGGAAAGAAAACUUCUGGCGGCGAGUGCGGGAGCGUUCAGUCUCUGAUCGGAAUGAUUUUUGCAGCGUCGUGUUCCUCUCAUCGAGAUCUUCGAUUUGAUAUGUUAUAUGGCUAUAUAUAACAUCAAACACUAGCUCUGAUACCACUUUGUUGGAGAAUAAAAAAAUUAAACACUAAAAAAAACACAUUAUUUUAUUUCUUCAACAACACUCCUCGCUAAUUACAAUUCUUAUUUUUCACUAUCUACACCUUAGAGAUUAUGUUACUUCACUUGAUGCAUAACCAAAUGACACAAGGGGUAUUUAUAGUACAUGAGAAGAAGUCUAAACUAUUCAAAUAAGAAAUUACAAAAAAUUAAUAACCAUUCAUUUUCACCUACCAAACCUACCACACCUAACACAAAUAAUUCAAACUUCAUCAACCAUACCUACUCAUGGAACCUUCAAUGAGUUGGGCUUGAAUUUAUUCAUCUUGGAUCAAGUUUAUGAUCCAACAGGCAAAUCCCAUCCCACUACCAACCCUUAAGCCUAACGCCGCUGUUCAGUUGUCAUCGUCAUUGAUGAAAUUGAUAAGACAAGUGAUAGAUGCUUUGUUGAUGAAGAAGGUGUCGAGAGCUGAGCAUUUGAAGACAAACUGUUAUCCGCACACAUUGCAUAGUAUACACAGUACACAGUUCACUGGAGGCUGCUUUGGGAGUUAAAUCUAGGGCAAGGUGAUCUUACUAUUGGUUACCUACUAUAGCUUGCUUGGAGAGCACAACACUUGUACAAACAUGUCAACUCUUAAAACUUUUAAGUGGUUUUUGGGGGACUAUUGGUUCCUCUUCCUCGUAAAAGUUAUUUUUGCUCCUUAGGUUUCUUAUAAAUUGUUAAUAAUCAAUUCAUCUGUGAUGCUAUAACAAUUACAGAAAAAUACACCAUUAAAGGAUACAUAUGACUUUCAACAAAUAAAUUAAUUACUUUUAAUUUGUACUAAACAUUUUAUUUAUAAAACUUUCACACUUACCAUUCAACAAUGUAUUUUCUCUUACUAAUUUUUAAACCAAAGAUGAAAUAAGGUAUUCAAAAUUUAAUAGGAACCUAAAUACCAAAAAUAAUCUCUAAGAAGAAUGAAGUGACAUCAUCCUUUUUUUCUCUUUUUUUAAAUCUCUCUCUGUAUGAUUAAUUAAUUUCCAAUAAAAAAUAGCCACUAAGAUCCUAAAUUUUGUUUAAAUAAUUAUACAGAUCCCUUUGAUUUCAUAAAUAAUCAUACAAUAACCCUUAAACUAUAUUUCAAACUUUUAAAUUAAUAUUUGUGAAAGUCUUGGUAGACUGCAUAGGUGUACCAUGUCAUCAGUAUACUUAUCCCACCAAAGCUUUAUCAUUAUUAUUGACGAGUAAGGGUAUUUACAUUGUAACAAAAGAAAUUUCCCCAAAAAGUUUAAUUGAAAUUAUCUCCUCCAAUAUUCAUGAUCACCGUUAUAUAGACAUACAUACACAUAAAAUUUUGCUGGGGUCCGUUGUCCAUAUCUUAUAAAAUGUGAAUUCAAACUAUGAUUAGUUUUCUACCAUGCCAUGAACCACAAUAGAAAACUGAUCGGGACCUAAGCAUAUAUGAAGGCGAUGGAUGGUGAAAAUUGAAUUGAUAGGAAAAAAUGAAGACGAGGAUGGAACAAUUGAUAAAAUUAAUAUCGGGCUGCACAAAUUAGACCACUACGCAUAUAUAGAGAUCUUUGUUAGAAUGUAAAUUCAUUUCUUGGCUUUAAUUUGACCAUCUAAACACAAAAUCUAGCUGAACCAAAUCAUUAUGGCCAAACACACCAUCUCUAUUCACAUGCCAAUAACAAUUAAUAUUAUUGAUAUCUUUUUAAAUCUUACUGGCGUUAUAAAAUUCAAAAAUCAAACUCCUAUCUCUCCAACUCACUCAACAGAAGAAUAGGGUAGUCUUCCUAAAAUAUACCCUUGUUUUAAUUAGAUUUUAAGAUAAAAGAAAAAGGAAACAAAAAAUCUAGCCAAACACAAUGAAUUUGUAUUAAGGUGACAGGAUGCCUUAUGUAGUCAAGAUAUGUUACUUGUUAUGCCCUUGAGUAAAGCUUGAGAAAGGAUGGAGGAAGAGAUGACGUAGUGAGAGGUUAAAAACAAAAGAGAGUUGGAUUGGAGGUUGUAUUUGUCCUGCAAAAUGGAGAGAAGAGGUCAGAGGCAGAGUCGGUGAUGGCUACAACAACACUCUUGACACUCAAAUUAGUUUUGGUGCUACUUUUUAAGGUUGAGAGCGUCCAAGCUCUCUAUAAUAAUGGCUGGAGGUUGAAGAAACCUCAGCCUUAUCGUGUGUGUAUUUUUGUGAUAAGUAAGAAAAACAGAACUUCAGCACCCUUAUUGACGAGUGCAUUAGGGUGCUUAGUCAUCUUCCCACUUAGCGUAAUUUUUUGGUUUGCUCAAAGGAUAUUCUUAUCUUUCGGCUUUUGUAACCGUUGGAGCAUUUAAAGCAUGCUUGGAGAGCAAGUUGGUGCAUCAUUUGUACAGUUUGUCCACACUUACACAUGUUGGACUUUUUUACAGCCAUGGCAUAGUGCUGCUUCCACUUUUCCAACAUAAUACUCUUUAUAAAUUCCCUAAAAUCAAAGGAACCAGUAUCUUUUUCAGGUAAUAAUGGCACCUCACGUACAUGAAGUUUUGGGCAGUUUGUCUGAUCGUUUUGCCUUCGAUAUGAGGAAGUCUGCAUACCACCCUAAUUUAUUAAGGUACCCAGCAUAGGUCAACUUCUCUUUGGUGACUUUUCAAAAUUUUAUACUAACACGUGGUGUUUUAUCAUUGAUUUUCUCAUUUCUUCCCUAAACAAAUCCCUUUUAAUUUCUAUAUGGAGACAAUAUUUGAGGCAUAAGAAACUCUUUGAAGAAUUUUGAAUGACACAUGGCGGUAUUCAUCAUUUCUACAUUGAUGGCUAGUUAGGAAGAGGUACUUUGGUUACCCCUUUUCUGGGUUGGCUACGCAGGUUUCCAUGAUAGACUUACUCAUUUUUUCUCCUUUUUUUUUAGAUUCUUAUAUAUAGAUUUGUUCUUCACCUAGGCUCUUUGUAACCUUUUAGGUGACACAUGGAUAAAGGUAAAAACACUCGUUCGAGAGGUAGGGAAAAGAGCUAAAUGGUUUUAAUGAGAGGAUUCAAGCUUUGACGAAGGGAAAAUGAUGUAUUAAAUGUGGACAAAUUAGAGAAAGCUAGGCUAAUUGGUGAAAGCUCCAUAUCUACUUUUUAUGAUAGGCUAUGCAUGGUUAAAGAGUGGCUCUUGAAAUACAAGUAUGCAACCUAAGAGGGGGGGUGAAUUGGGAUUCUAAAAAUUAUUUGAUUCUAAGACAAAUUAUCAUGCAAAUCUAGAAUGAAUUUAAAGCAAUAACAAUUAAGUUGAUCACAAUAUAAAAAGAUAAGGGAAGAGAAAUUCAAACACAGAGAUUUUUAUGUGGUUCGCCCAACCUCGCCUACGUCCACGCCUCCAAGCUUUCCGGGCUUGAGGAUUCCACUAAGCAAGCCUCCAAGGCUUCAAAUGCUUACAAUUGACUUCCAAGGUGUCAAUAACCUUUACAACAAGAGAUUAUCCCAAUCUCUUUAACCCAAGUGUAUCCCAACACUUACAAUCACUCAAAACAAAAGAUUUCAAAUUUGUUUUGCCUCUCACAAUAUAUAAGAUUACACAAUGAUGCCCAAUAUGUGAACAAAUGAAGCAAGAAUGUGUUCUAAGCUCUAUGAAGAUUGUAUUCUCGAAUAUAAGCUCAAUAGUCGUGUUGUGAUCAAUCUUCUUUGAAUUUGAAUGAGCUUAUUUAUAUUUGGAGUUGAAAAACUAGCCGUUACAAAUUGUCGGCCCGAAAACGGUUCGCCGUUAACCAUUAACAGUUAACCGUUUAGGCUGGUCAAAAGUUACCGUUGGACCAAAUUUCAAAUAAACGGUUUGCCGUUUCGGAUUACCCUUUCGCCGUUAAAUUCCAGAGACCUGCAAGAUGAACAUCAGUUAUCUGUUUACAUUAAACGGUUAGGGAUUUGCAUGAAGUGACUUCUCUGGAUAUUAUCGGUUAACCGUUUGUAAUAAACGGUUCGCCGUUUGUUUCCAGUAACCUGCAAAAUAAUUUAGCCUUAUCCGGUUUUGUUAAACAGUGCCAGAGGAGUACAACCUUCAAUUCUGGAUGUUAUUGGUUAACCGUUUCAAUAAACGGUUCACCGUUUCAAUAAACGGUUCACCGUUAAAUUCCAAUAGCCUUUCCAUCUUUUAUGUUUUCCGUUUUUCAUAAACGGUUAGAGCUUAGGCAAUAUGUUGCUCUCUGGUAUUAAUCGGUUAACCGUUUAAAAGAAACUGGUUCACCGUUUAUUUCUAGAAUCACAUUUUAAACCAGAUUUUACCGAGAAUCUUUUUCUAAUUUAAAAGUCUAUCUUUUAUGAAUAUGAAUGGAAUGAUUAUUAAGGCUUUCGUUUAUUAAGGAAUAGCUCCAACAUUUUUAUCAAAAACCAUUUAAAGUUUGUUAUCAUCAAAAUUAAUAUUAUUAACAUAUUCAUGUCAACAGCCCUAGGAUACCCCUACUCUCUUACGUUUUGUUUUUAUUUUCUGCAUUUCAUAACCCUAUUUUUUCUUUUUCCUCAUAGAGUCUCGUAUUUAUGUAACUGACAUUUUUCUUUUGCGCAUGGCAGUUGGUAAGUACAAAACCCUUUUUAGAUGACUUUGUUCAAGAUAGUUGAAUGAUCAAAUUCUCUCGAUGGGAUGACUGUUUGUUCAAGAUAGCAAUUCCUAUAGCACUGGGCAAAAUUACCUUGCGUCCUCGGUUGUCGCUUGUUAAACUUCUCAUAUCCUUAUGCAACCUAACAAUGACCAGUUGUUAUAUCACAUAAGAUAUGACUUUACAAACAUAUACUCUUUCUACCCUACAAGGUGAAUCCCUAUAUCUAGUUCAUCAUAAAUCUUAACUCAAGUGUAAUCCUUUUGAGACUCAAGUUAAAUUCAAUCCAGGAAGCUUGACUGAAGAUCAAGUAUUACUCUAAUAAUUUCCACUAAGACAGACCUUUUUGUGGCUCUCUCUUAACUUGAAUCAUUAAAUGAGAGGUCAACCGAAAUAAUGAUUGUAAUAAAAGCUAUUAAAAAAAAAUGCUACAACAAUCUUGCAACAACUCAUAAAAACAGUCAAGAACCCAUCUAGAUUGUUUGUCACUCAACUACAAUCAAAUUUAGUUCAUAACUUGAAAAAGAAAAACAAACAGCAAAGUAUCAGCCAUGAAAUACAUUAUUUCAAUCAAUGAAUAAGUAAGGGGACAAGUAAAGAAUGAUGAAAAUUGAAUCCAAAUAGUUCUAUAGAUUUUUUCAAUGGUGCAGACUUGUUCUCUCUUGAAUUCUGCUUCUUCCUUCUUUUUCUCUUGAUUUUUUCGGUGUUAAUUCACGACCACUUUUUCCAUAUGAUGCGUGCUCUUUUUAUAACUAAAACUUAGGGUAAAUGGAAGCCUAGGGCGCGCAUAAGUCAGAUUAGGAAACUGCAGAUCGUAAUUCUACAAAUAUCUCGCACAAAAUUUUCUCUAUCGUUGUUCCAGGAUUGCUACAGCAAUGGAUACAACAAUUGUACUGUUCCAGAUUUGUUUCAAUUCUUUUGUAGCCAUUUUCUUUCUUUAUUUUUGCAAGCCUAUUCCAUCAGCAUUUCUUCCUUGAAAUUUGAGCUUCCUGAAACCUACAAUUAUGCACACAAUUUAAGCACAAAUUACUCUAAAUCAAACAAAAUUUAUUAAGAAUAACUUAAAAUGAAUGUUUAUGCAAAAUAUAACAAAAAUGCAAUGAAAACACAUCAUUUACUCUCUAAGUAAUAUUGAUUCAAGUCUAAAAGUGUCAUGAUAACUCUCAUUUCAUAGAGUUAUCGGUCACAUAGCUCCUCUAUUGGUGGUUCCCGAGAUUCCUCAGGUAUCUAGAUUGGGAUCCUUUUUCUCUCUGCCUAGGGAUUUUGUUGAAGGGAAACUUGACUUAGUGGUGAACGAGAAAGUCUUUCACUUUGCUGGAUAUGUUCAUUAUAACCACCAAAAGCAUCACCCUAAAAUUGGUUGUCAAUUCGUAUAGUUAAGCUUGACCGAGCUCUAUAAGCAAUCUUUUACCUAUAUUUACUAUGAUAUAUCUAACUAUUUGCAAACGACAUUUAAUCUGAAUCACUGAUUCUAAGGCCUCAAUAUUACCUCCACCACUCAGUCUAAGGUAGCAAAGCUAAAAGAUGAACUCUAAAGUCGUAAGUCCUGUAAAAAUAAGCUUACUCAAGAAAUCAAAGCUUUGAAAAGGUGCCUAGAUGAUCUGACCAAGGAGAAGGCCCAUGUAGCCAAAUAUAAUGCGAAGUUACGGGCUGGAUAAUGACUGAAGUUUGGAGUAUGGAGUCGGGGCUGUUGGUACCCAUGGUGGAGAAAUGGGCAGAAAAAUAGUCCAUAAAGUUCAUAAUGUACUCAACCUGCCACAACCAAAGCUCCCAUUAGAUGUUCUUGCCACUGAAUAUCAUAACUCUGCAACUUUCAUCGAUCCCAUUUUCAGAGGGAUAACAGAAAAGAUGAGCUUCCUACUGUAUGACUUUAUUUGGCGUUAUUGCUUGUUUGUUGGUAUUUUUCCUUAAUUCUGUACUUGAAACUAUUUUCUUGAUUUCUUGCUACACCCCCUUCUAUUAGGGUACCCGAACUGCUUGAAUGUUGUAUUCCUUAAAUGUUGUACUCACAAACUCUUUUAUUUUGUGAUUGUUUGUAAUGAUAUUUUUAUUUUCCAUAGCUUUAGAUGCUACCACUUGGCUGGGCAGCCUUUUUUAAGAUCUUUUUGUGUUUCUUUGAUGCAUUCUAAAAUCUAAUUUCGGGCAUAGGGUACCUCAGGUACCCUUUAGCUUGGAUUAGGGGUGGGCAUCGGUUCAAUUCAGUUCGAUUUUGGGAUAAACUUCAUUCGGUUAUUAAGGAAAAUAAAUUUCGAAUCGAAACGGAUAAUUCAGUUCGGUUCAGUAUUAGGUUUUAAGUUCAUUUUUGGUUUUUCGGUAAUGGUUCGCUUAACAGAUCGGAUUAACAAACCAGUUUUUCGGUUCACCUAACUUGCACACAAGGCCUACAAUAAUCAAUGUAUAAUCAAUGUAUAAUCAAUGAAAAUAAAAUAAUUUACAAAAUUGUAUUAAAAAAAAAUUGCAAAGAUUUUGGACUAAAAUAAAGAAUUUUUAGAAUCAUCAUCAUUGUUUUUAAUAUCAAAACUUUCGGGGUCAAGACAUAAAUAAAAUAAAAUAAGUUUCUGCACCAAAAUAUAAUUUACCUAAAAAAUAGGGAUUCAAAUGAUAUUUUGUGCUCUUGACUUUCGGUCAAGGACCCUUUUGAAAAAUUUACAAAAAUAUUAGGAUAUAACAGAAUUUCUAUAUGCAAACAUUUCCUAAAAACUAUGUCAUACUACAAUUUUAUGAAGGACAGGGAUGCAAAUGAUAUUAUUGGUUUGGUUUGGGUUUUUUAAACUUUUGAUCCGAAAACUAAACUGAACCGAGUGGUUCGGUUUGCUAUUUCUAUAUUCAGUUUUUUAACUUUAAAAAAAUCGUACCGAAACUGAAAAAAUGAACCAAAUUGGAUCUUUUUCUAUUUCGCUUCGGUUUUGCCCACCCCCAACUUAGAUAUUCAUUAAGCUAUCUCUUUCUUUAUGGUAGAGCAGUUUAGUUUCAUUUUAUAUAUGGCGAUUUAUCUAGAUGUGUAUCCUACUUUUCUUUAGGAAAUUAUAGCGAAUCUCUACACACAAUCAAUAAUAAAAGUAUAGUCAUGACGAUUUGGUUAGGCGUGAAAAUUCAUAAUUGGCGUAAUAACAAUGACAAAUAGAUUUAUUUCAACUCUCCUAAAGCAUUCUUAGCCCUUUUCUUCAUAAAGUGAUCAAAAACCUCAUGAUUUGCUAUUUUGCUUUAAAUCAAAUUAGCACGAUAAAUAGUAACAAAGGCCGCUAGUCACUUUUUUUUUUCUUUUCAAAAUGGACAAAAGCCUCAUGAUUCACCAUUUGCUUUGAACGAAUUAUCAACAUCAAUAGUAACAAAGGCAGCUGCUCGCCUAACGUUUUUUGAAAAAUAGACAAAUUUCGUGAUCCACAAUUUGCUUUGUAUCAAAUAAGCAAAAAAGCUAGUGACAAAGAUGGCUGCGAGCCUACCCUUUCUUUUUUUGGGGGGGGGGGGUGAUGGACAAAAUUCACAUGAAUUUCCAUUUGCAUUAAAUCAAAUAAGCAAAACAGAUGGUAACAAAUGCGGCUGCUUGCCUGCCCUUGAAAGUACUUGGGGCAUUUAACUCAUGUGCCCUUUACUUGUAAAUUGUUUGUCCCUCACUUUAGCUUAAGUAAAAGAAUGGAGGUGUGGGCACGUGCAAGCCUUAACAAAUCCUCAUGAUGCUAGAGUACGACUAUGUAUUUUUUCCUUUUUUUUUUUUACCUUCCCUCUCUUUGUUCAAAUAAGUGCAUUUUCAUAAUUGUUCUCAAAAGCUACCACUGAUUUCUUUAUAUUCUUUAUGCUAGGUUUGACUUUAAGCAGAUAUUCAUGAUUAGGAUAAGUUAGGUACCCCAAUUUAUACUGGAUCAAAGCGAUCUCUUGAUACUAUGUUGUGUCAUAAUAAACAUUGCAUAACAAUAGACAUGCAAUUAGUUUAAUGGCGAACAUAUUAUUUUUUAAUAGCAUUUAAAAUUAAUCAUUCAUAUUAUGAAAUCGAAAGAUGAAUAAAAGAGCACACAUCAUUGCAUUUUAAAGAGGAAAUGUAUUCAUAGGUAAUAGAGACAUAGAUCAUUACAUGAUAUUAUUUUACUAUCUUGAGUAAAAUGGAGAAUCCUAGGAUCUCCCACUCUUGUCAUUAAAGACUUAAGGAAUUAAUAAGUGCAAUUGACUUGUUUAGGGUGCCCUGGGUACCCCACUUGGCAAACCAUGUAUUACAAACAUGUAAGCAUUGAAGAAAACAAAUGAAAUAAACAAUAGAAGGUAAAGUGUUAUUCCUUUACUAGCAGUAUAACUUCUCUUUCCCACGACCGAUGAUAAUUACUUCUACACCAUUUCCAUAUGAAUUAAAAAAGCCAUCAAUGCAAAUUUCAUAAACUUGUUCUUCUUCUGCCGCAUAUGCUGCAUCACUUGGGUAUCCUAGGAUUCCUUGACCCCUAGAUUCAUUGGUGAAUUCAGCCUAGAAAUUGACAAUGGCUUGAGUUUUGAUAGUCGAGUAAGGCUUGUGGGUUUCAAGAGGGUGUCCUGGGUACCCAUAGUGCCUUAAAAUUUAUUGUCUUUAUUAUUGUUGGUGAAUCUCUAUGUACUUUUCUAAUUGGCAUGCUUACCAAAUCUAUCGAUAGGCAGCUCUCCGUUGGCUACCAGAUACUUGGUUGGUUAGGUGUACUGCUACCCCAUGUGGCAAUAACCUAUCCUUUGGGAGAUACACCUUUGACUAUGUGUUAAACUUAAUUUGAUAGCUCUCUUUAAAGGUGUUAGUAUAGUUUCCCUAAACUGGCCACUAGUCUUCUUUGAUUGUGAUAACAUCUUUGACGAUUGGAACUUUCAUGGCGAGGUAAUGUAUGGAUAUCACUGCUUUAGUUUUUAUUCAAAAUGGCAUGUCUAUGGUGAUAUUACAGGCAGCGGGGUGAUCCAUAAGGAGGAAGUCAAGCAUAUGGAUAAAACGAUUAGAUACCUCACCAAUUGUAACAAUUAAUGUAAUGAGGCUUUUCGGAAUGACAAUAAUUAACAACUAAUCCAAAGCGCUCUUGAAGAUAAUAUCCAUGAAGCUACUGGUGUCCACUAGCAUUCUUCUUACUUUGUCGGUAACAACCUUCAAUGUUAUAACGAACGCAUCUUCAUGAGGCUAGGAGAUACCCUCGGCAUCAUUUUCUGUAAACAGAAAUUAGAUAGGGCUAGUGAAAUUAACAUUGUUACUGAUGAUAGUCAUGGACAUCGACGUCCUGCCGUAAAACUUUAUGGCUCUCCUAGCUCGCUAGUGAAAGUAGGUCUGCUAGCUAUCAUUUGAACAUAAGCUCUUUGUUAGGAUCUAUGGGGUGCUCUAUGCUUAAGGCUAGAGUUGGUAAUGUGUUUGCCAUUUGUCUUGCUCUAUAGAAUUUCAAGCCUGCUUCAUAUCACCAACAAAAUCAAUGAGGUACCCGUGAGAAUUAGAGAUUCGAUUUCCUCGUAAGCUAAAGCACUCAAUGAUGCUAUGGCUGAAUGAAACUCACAAUAUUUUAGGCUACGCUUUAUGUUGGAGUAUUUCGGUAUAUACUUGGGUUUUGAUAACUCUAGGAAAUGAGAGUUAUCAAGGCACUUUUAGACUUAUUCGAUAUUAUUUAGAGAGUAAAUGUUGUGUUUCUAUUGCAUUUUUGUUAUAUUUCGCAUAAACAAUUAUUUUAGUUUGGUCAUAAUAAAUUUUGUUUGAUUUAGAAUAAUUCGUGCCUAGAUUGUGUGCAUAAUUGUAGGUGUUCGGAAGGUCAAGUUUCAAGGAAGGAAUGCUGAUGCAAUAGGCUUGCAAAAAUAAAGAAAGAAAAUGGCUACAAAAGAAUUGAAACAAAUCUGGAACAAUAUAAUUGUUGUAUCCAUUGCUAUAGCAAUCUGGAACAAUGACAGAGAAAAUUCCACGCGAGAUACUUGCAGAAUCGUGAUCUGCAGUUUCCUAAUCUGACUCAUACGCACUCUAGGCUUCCGUUUACCCUAAUUUUCAAUUAUAAAAAGAGCACGCAUUAUAAGAAUAAAGGGCAGUGAAUUAACAUCGAAGAAAUCAAGAGAAAAUAAGAAAUGAGUAGAAUUCAAGAGAGACAAGGCUGCACCAUUGAAGAAAUCUGCAGAACUAUUUGGAUUCAAUUUUCAUCAUUCUUUACUUCUCCUCUUACUUACUCUUUGAUUGAAACGAUGUAUUUUAUGGCUGAUACUUUGCUGUUUGUCCUUUUUUUAUAAGUUAUGAACUAAAUUUGAUUGUAGUUGAGUGACAAACGAUCUAAAUGGGUUCUUGAUUGUUCUAAUGAGUUGUUACAACAUUGCUGUAGCAUUUUGCUUUAAUAGCUUGUAUUACAAUCAUUAUUUCAGUUGACCUCCCAUUUAAUGGUUCAAGUUAAGAGAGAGCCACAAAAGGGACUGUCUUAGUGGAAAUUAUUAGAGUAAUACUUGAUCUUAAUUUAAGUUUCCUGGAUUGAGUUUAACUUGAGUCCCAAGAGGGCCACACUUCAAUUAAGAUUUGUGAUGACAUAGAUAUAGGGAUUCACCUUGUAGGGUAGAGAGAGUAUAUGUUCGUAAUGCCAUAUCUUAUGUAAUAUAACAACUGGUCAUUGUUAGGUUGCGUAAGGGUAUAAGAAGUUCAACAAGCGACAGCUGAGGAAGCAAAAUAAUUCUACCCAGUGCUAUAGAAGUUGUUGCAGUAACUAGUGUUAGAUUGAACAAAACAGUCAGCCCAUGAAGAGAGUUUGAUCAUUCAACUACCUUAUUCUUAUUGAAUUCUAUUUGCGCAAGCCAUUCAGUUUACUUCAUUAUUGCAGUUACUUUAUUAUGUUGUUAAUUUUAUUAGUCAAUCAACUUUAUUUAUAUUCCUUUUAGAUAGAAGGAAGUUUGCACUAUCGUAAUUGUUGUAGCAUUUCUAGUAACAACAGUCUCUAUGGAGACGAGCUUGAAUAUUCAUCACUUUAUUACUUGUUGUGUACACUUGCACGUUAACAUCAAUAACAAUCGAGUUAAAAUAACCAACAGGUUUCUGCCUAUUUUUUUAUGACCUCCACUUUGUCUUCUUGCCAUUUCAAAUGACAUUUCUCGUCUAUCUAAGUAUAAUGUAAAGCUCAAGAGCGGGCUUCCCAUAUGAAAGUUAGAAUUGCUCUUAAAAAGAAUGUCACCACUUACUUAAUCAUAAAUUCUUCUCAAAGUGAGUCAAGGUAUACCAGUGACCAAAUGCAUUGGUCUGUAGCACUUCUUGAUUGAAAAGGGUUGACAUAGUCAACUAAUGAUUCUAACUCGCCUUGGUUGAUGAAAGCAAGUUUAAAAGAUGUUCUAUCUUGAGAGAAAGCAUAAAAAAUCUUGUGAAUAAAUUCUUUUGAUAAUUAGUGUCACGAGGAUAUGUUGCCUGCGUCCAAAGAUUAGAACUAAGAUUUUGCAGGGUUGGUGAGGUAUAUGUAAAUGUCCUAUCCAUACUAUUCUUGUCAACAGUCUUGAUAAGCAUCUAAUCAUGCUAUAGGUUGGCAUGCUCAACUAGUUAUGUGGUACCUGAGUACUGGGGUACCUGAGGUGUGGUGAAUACUUUAGAGAGAAUAGCUGUAUGGAUAUCCAUGGUGAGUAGCAAGUUAUACACUACUAGUGUUGGAACAUUGGUGAUGUUUCACUUUUCGAAAAGAAGCUUCACCUAGGUUUCCAGAUAUUCCAUUUUUCUAAAAACUCGCGGGUACCCUAAGUGCAAAUAAGGAUGCCACUGUCGUUUAAGAAGCUCUUUUUGCAUUUAACUUGUGUUGGAGAUCUUUGCGAGCUUGUUUUGCAUGCCUGGUAUCCUAACUACUUCGCGAGUAACUAGAGGCUGUGUAACGUUCAUCCCUAGAUUUCGUGGGUUAAAACUUGGAUUGGGUUCCCAAUGGCUCAUUCCUUAGCUUGCUUCCUUCGAGUACCUUUAACCAAUGGAUAAGUUGUUUUUCAACUCUCAUUGGUGGCAUAUCUUGGAUUGUUGGUGAGACAGUCGGCUCAGGUACCCAAGAACCUAUUGCACAAAGAAUUGCAUGAGCUAGGUCUUCAAAGUGCUUAUAAGAGAUGGGUUCGUCAUCUUGGCUAAUACCAGCCGAUUGUUUAAUGGAUUUGCCUUUGUAAAGCCAGACUGUUUUCCUAGUUAAAUUACCUACACCAUUGCUGCUAUGGUCGCUCAGUCACUCCGGAUCUUCCAACAUGUUGUCAGAUGGUAUGUUGGUUGCCAUUUUAGGGUUGACACAACAACAAUGAGCUUAGUAUAUUAUGGAGGAAUUUUGUGCGCUCCCCAUGCAAAUGGCACCAAUUGUUUUGACUAGAUUUUAGAAUGACAGUAAAAGAAAACAAGAAACCUAGCUAAGUAUAAUAAAGUUUUAUUAAAUUGACAUGGUGCCUCGCAUAGCCGAGGUGUGUUACUUGUUAUGGUUUUCAGUGAAGCUUGAAGGAGGAUAGAAGAAAAGAGAACCUAGUGAAAGGCUAAUAUCUGGAGAGAUUGGCUUGAAGAUUGUGUUUAUCCUACAAAAUGAGGAAAAGAGUUCAAAUGUCCACUCCAGAAGUGUCCACUCCACUCACAUUUCGUGAGGGAGAGACUGCCUCCACUCAAUUAUUUGAUAAUUGAAGGAGGAUUGAAACUAGCCCCCAUAAUUCUUUUAUGGAGACUCAAACCCUUACUCUUAACAUUGUAAGUGCAAAGGCUCUCCCACUAGGCUAAAAGGCCAUUGGUAAGUGUGACAGUCUAUUUAAACUUGGGUAUAAUAUUUCUAACUUAUAUUUGAUAAAAAAAAAAUCUGUAAUUUUCUUUUAUAUUUUAAAAUUUAUUUAUGUAUUUUUAGGACAAUCCAUUGAACUUUGGGCCAACUCUAUACACGACAAAUACUUGCCAGAUGCACCAGUCUCCUAGGCCAGGCCUUCCUGAACCAUGCUUAGGCUGCCCGAACACAAACAUUAGUCCGAGAGUAAGGCAGGUCAGUACGUACGCCAGUCCAGCUCAUACAUGCGGCCAAUUGUAGGUCGUGCCGGAUAAGAGAAAAUUUAUGAAGUCGACCCCCAAAACUUUUUCAUUUUUUAAAAAUGACCACACUAAGACUUGUCGUACUUUUUUUCUUUUUUCUUUUUAUUACAUGAGACUAUUGCUCAGAUUACAACUCAUAUUACAUGAGACUAUAACUGAUAUUUACAAAUCAGACUAUUACUGGGACCAACUUACAUCAAUGCUAAUGGAGCUCUACCCAAAUUUUUAACCCUCACAAAUAUUCGAGGGAUGUCUACUCCUCACUCAUGGGUAAAGAGAAUACUACCUUCACUCAAUUAAUUGAGGAAGGAAAUACCCCCACAAUACUUUUGUGGGGGUUCGAACUGCUGCCCUCCAACUUGGAGGGCAGCAGCCCUGGCCACUCGGGCUGAGCCGAGUGGUUAGACUUGUCGUACUUUAAUGAUCAAGUGGAUGAUUUUCGAACAAAAGUAUCCCUAAAAUUUUAUAUUAUACUGUUAAACUCUUCUUCUUCCAUUAAUCCAUUCAAAAAAACUUAUUCAGGACUCUGACACCCCUCUCUCACUUGCAAGAAACACCAUUUUUAUCAACCAUUGAAGAAAAAUUAAGAAGUGAAGAUUUAGGAAGGUUAGUACCAUUUUUUUUUUCUGUUAUAAUGUGUUGUGUUAUUUUACAUUAAAAUUCAAUGUAGGUCUAUAGAACAAUUGGUUUGAAUUAAUAGGACUUGGUUUGCCAAAAAAAAGUCAGUAUUUUUGUGAAAGUGCUCAGAUGAACUUAGAAAUUCUGGACAACAGCGGGCGACAACUUGGCUGACAUGAUGGUGGCAGGGUGACUGACUUUUAUUUCCUAGCUAAUGAUAUUUAAUCUCUCAAAUUCUCUUACUAGCAGCCAUUAUUUAAUUAGUACUAUUUAUUUCAAAAUUACCCUUAUUAAAAGGUAAACAUGUCUUUUUUCUUCUUUUCACUCUCAUCUCAUUUGCACUCACUCUCUCACUUAGGCACCAACAAUACCAUCACCAACAAUACCAUCAUGGGAAUACAAGUAUUCCCAUGAUGUAUACAUCCUAUUGCAACAGCAAGCGACCCUAGGGCAAAAAAUUGCCACACCUCAUGAUGCAUGAUGAUUAAUGUUAAAAAUUGUAUGUUUAUUAAGGGGUAAAAAUGAUAUUUUGUACUUGUAAUAUAAUUUACAUUUGUAAUUAUGUAAUACAUUAUGAAUUUCUAAUUAUUUUUCUAAAUAUUUGAUUUUGUGUAUUUUUGUGUGUUUAUUAGGUAAAAAUAAUAAUUUCACGUAAUUUGAGGCUCCAAACAAAUGUACUGAUGUCAAAUUUGGAUUCCAAAAGUCUGAGAAAUUAGAUCAUUGUCGAGGAGGAUCCACGAUUUUUGUUAUAAAUUUAUAAGUUUUUACCAUGGUAAAUGUGGUAAUUGUGGAAUUAUAAGUUUUUACUAUGUUAGGUGUGGUAACUGUUAGUGAAAUGUAUUUAAUGUGCUUGGGUGGAUUAAGUUAGGUUUAUUUUUUGUUAGUGAAGCAAAUGUAUGGUUAAGAUGUAUUUAACUUUAUUUAUUUGUAUGGUGUGGAUUAAUCAUGUAUUAGUAUAAAUAAAGAGGGGGGAACACACCUCUUUGCGCCUUUUCUUCUCUUCUUUCCCCUCAAAUUCUUCUUCUCAUCUCUCUUUGUAAUAUAUUUUCAAUAAAUAAAAUUAAUUUUAUUUUCAAUUUUUAAAUACUUUUUUAAUUAUUUUUUUCUUAAUUUUAAUAAUUACUUUUAUUUCAAAUAUGUUUAGCUAAAUACUAAUAGUUAGGGGAAGGUAAAACUCUUAGUAAAAAAAAUGAUUUAAUCAAAUUUUAUUUUUAAUUAUAUAAAUUAAAUUAUUUUCUAUCUAAUUUUAUGCAUAUUUUAUAUUUUGAAAUUUUGAUUUAUUGUAGACAAGCAUAGGGUUUGGCGCAAUAAUUUCUUAAUAUCUUAGUAUAAAGUAUGGUAAAAUGGUAUUUUCACUUAGUGUAGACAAAUUAAAUUUUGGCACACUAAGUACUUAAUCUAUAAGAAAUUAUUGGGAAAAUAAUUGUAAUUUAUACAAUUAAUCAUUUAGGUAAUAAAAUAAAAAUAAAAAGAAUUUAUUAAAUUAUAUUUAUUACUAAGAGUCGAUCUAUAACUCCAACUAAUUUAAUUUCAUAGUUUUGCUUAAAUUAAGUUGCACAUUUUUAAAUUUUAUUUUCAUUUUUUUAAAAUAAACAAAUUAAAUCUUUUCUCUGUGGAUCGACCUCGAACUCACCGAGUUAUAAUAUAACUAAGCACUCUUAUAUUUGGAAAUAAAUUAAAUAUUUUUAAGUCAUGUCACAUGAUGCAGAGCAUAUCUGCUUUGCCGCAACGCGUCAUGCCAUGUCGCCAAGGAAGCCACAGCUCGCACGCCACAAAGGAAACUCAUUUUGGAAUUUUGGGCAAUACUUCAUUUCACUGUUUCCUUUGUACAAAUGUAAUCUUUUUUAAUAAUUAAUCAAUGUUAAUCUGUAUAAGUUGUUGUGAAGUAAUUGUUUAUCUCUUUUGCUACUUAAUAAAGAUUUUAAUAUUUCUUUAAAGAAUUUUGCAUGAUUAAAAAUUGAAAUGAAGCAAGAAGCUCUGAUUUGGUUAGUUUUAAUUUGAAAAUUUUCAGGAUGCUUUGUGAUAGUAAAUUCAAUUUUAUAGUUUUGCUUUAAGUUUUGAAUUUAAUUGAGAGAAAGAAAGUGAAUAUAAAAAGAAAAAUUCUUUGAAGUAAGGUGUUUCCAGAAAUAUACCGUCUCAAUUUAAAAAUGAGGUAAAUGAGGUAAAAUAAGAGGGUGAACUAUCGACAUUCUUAUUUCCUUUGUAAAUGAAAUUUAAAAGUAUAAAAUUUGACUUUUGUUUAAAGUUAUGUAAUCAUGCAUAUUGAAUAACCAAAAGGAUAGCAUGCACCCGUUUCAUUUAAGGUUUUUUUUUUCUUAUAAAAAAGCAUAAAGAACAAGAGAAAUAUGAAAAAUAAAUCCUUAUAAGAAAAUAUGAAAAUAAAUCAUUUAUGGGCCCAUCUAAGUAAACAAAUAAUAAAACAGUUUACCUUCCAAUACCUCUUUAAAAUUUAUAUAAAACGAGUAAUAAAAUUUGACCAUCUCAAUUUCAACCACCUCCCACCACCACCACUGUCAUUGCCUCACACCCCCACACUAGUAGUACUUCGUUGCCGAUUGACCUUACUAGUAAAUUCCUAGUUGCUGACCAAAAUCCUUGAUUAUUUCUUCACUGCAGGUAGACGCGAACCCAAUAAGAAUAUGCCCAGAAGUCAAGUUCUAUGAUUUUCAAAAUGAAUUGAAGUUGUCCAAGCCUUCUGCUGUCUAUCCCAUAAGCAAAAGUUAUUAGUUGUUUCUAGGACAAUUGCCUUGAUUUCUACUUAAUUAAUUAAAAGAAGUAAGAUCUUAAAUCAAUCUCAAAUCAAAUAUCUUUUGUCUGUCUUUCUUGUUUCUUUCAUUUUAACCAUAUUAUCUUGUACUAUUAAAAAAAAAAAAAUACCUUGUCUUGUAAAUGGACCUUUGAUUUGUAUCUUUGUAUCCAUUUUUGUGUAUGUGGAUUUAAAAAAUUAGAGCUAUUCCAAGUAAAUGCGGGGAAUUUGAUAGGCAGUUGCUGUAGAAUUUGCUCAAGAUUUUUUUAAUUAUAAUUUAUUUUUAAACAAGGGCAACCUUGGAAAGGAAUAAGAUUAACUGAAAAGUGAGGUUUAUUAAGAGAAAUUGAGAGGGUUAAAUAUCACUGCUAUUUCAUCUAGAAUAAAUUAACUAAAUUAUAAACAUACCUUUUUUUUUAUUAGAAAAAAAAAAUCUUAUCAUUGGGUGGCUUGUUUCUUCAUUGAUUCAAAAUUAUUUUAUUUAAAAAAAAAUUAAUUAUAUCACAUAUUAGGAUUUAAAGAUAGUCAGGGUUCAUGAUUUGAGAGACAUUUAAUUAAAUUAAUAAUAGUCCUUUUAUAUAAUUUUCUCUAACUAUACAACUAUAAUUACAAAAAAAGGGUUUUAUAGGGAUAUUAAAGGGGUCUGAAAAAUAUUACUCGUAAUAAAGAUGCAACCCUUUGAUACAUCUAUAUAAAUGAAUCAUUAGCAGACUUAUUUGCGUGUAGCGUCAUAUUUGUUCGUUCUGGCCUCUUCUUUCCGAAACCUUUUUUGAUUCGUUGUAAUAUAAACUAAUUGUUAGAUGUUAGUAUUUCAUGUCACAGUUCAAUUGUCUGAACGUAAGUUCAGCUUCAAUUGUCUGAACGUAAGUUCAGCUGCUCUAUGAGAAGUCCAAAUUCAAUAAAUUAUGUGAUCUAACGUGAUUAAUUGAUACUCUUCAAAAGGUGUGCCGUUCCUAUGGUACGACUUUUAAUUGGCUGAAACCAGUUCUAUACUUCUAUUACUUAGUAUUGUGAAAGUCAACCACUCGGCUCAGCCCGAGUGGCCAGGGCUGCUGUCCUCCAACUUGGAGGGCAGCAGUUUGAACCCCCACAAAAGUAUUGUGGGAGUAUUUUUUUUCUCAAUUAAUUUGAGUGAAGGUAGUCUUCUUGGAGGGCAGCAGUUCGAACCCCCACAAAAGUAUUGUGGGGGUAUUUUCUUUCUCAAUUAAUUUGAGUGAAGGUAGUCUUCUCCUUUACUCAUGAGUGAGGAGUAGACAU